UAUCAAAAUUCUUAGCACGAGUAAAGAAAUAUGGCGAUAUAGCUAGGAAGUUUGUGUAAUGGCUGAAUCGAAAAUGGAAAAAUAUUUUGUAAUGGACUCUUUUGAUAAAUGAAAUGCCUAAAUAGGGGCCGUCUUGAAAUCAACACUAAAUUCUUGCAUAUUCAUGCAUGACUAACAUUCAUUUGACAUUUAUGCAUUCAUUCAGUCAUUCAUUCAUUCAUUGCAUAUCCCAUAUUCAUUCGCUGAGGUUAAAACAUACAAUUUGCAGUUGUAAUACCACAAGACUGGAACCACGUCAUUUGUAUAGGACACGUCGACAAGCUAGAGUAAUGGAGGCUGAAUUCAAUGAAAGGAUGGAAAGAAUCCAAAGGGAAUUACAAGAGCAGUUGGCCAAGUCGCAGCAAGAGACAAGAGACUUAAUGGUGAGAUCUCGAGAAGAAUUGCUCGAACAGAAGGACCAAAUGGCUAAGAUGAUGGAAAUGAUGUCGGCUCUGGUAAAAGGAAAGGGACUUAUGAACCCUGACGUUGUGGAACCACAGUCAAGGGUUAACCUCGAUCAGGAUCCGCCCCAUCCUCCAAGAUUUACUCCACCGCACGCCCACACAACAAAAAGAGGGUACGCUCAAUGGGAACCUACAGGCCUGGAGCAACGACCUGCGCCACCUACCAAUCUGGGGAAAGGAAUAUUCGUAUCAAACCCGGAGGCUAGUCCUGCUAAUCCACUCGUUCCAGAUUUGGACGAUCCAGCAGAGAUAGCCAGGUAGAAAUUGGAUGAUCACGAUGCAAAGGAGAAAUAUAGGAGCCUAGAGGAAAGGCUCAAGGCGAUAGCGGGCACUGAAGUCUUCUCUACACUGAGCGCUAAAGAGCUCAGUUUGGUACCCGAUUUAGUUUUGCCUCCAAAGUUUAAGGUACCGGAUUUUGAAAAGUACGAUAGGACAAGAUGCCCAAAAACUCAUCUCAUCAUGUUUUGCCGGAAGAUGACCGGUUAUGUGAAUGAAGAUAAGCUACUCAUACAUUUUUUUCAGGAUAGUCUAGUAGGAUCGGCUCUUCGGUGGUACAACCAGCUUAGUAGGGAAAAGAUCCGAUCCUGGAAGGACUUGGCGUCAGCAUUCUGUGAGCAGUACAAGCAUGUAUCGGAUAUGGUGCCUGAUCGAAUGACUCUACAAAUGAUGGAAAAGAAACCACCAGAAACCAUUAGGCAAUACGCUCAAACAUGGAGAGACGUCUCGGCCCAAGUAGAACCUCCGCUAACAAAAACGGCGAUAACCGUCCUCUUUAUCAACACCUUAAAGGCGCCGUUUUAUGACAAACUAGUGGGAAGUGCCACGAAUGACUUUACGGAUAUUGUAAUAUCCGGUGAGCUUAUAGAGAAUACCGUCAAGAGCGAUAGAAUAGAAGGUCAGGAAAGUUCAAGAAGGGUAGCGCCCAUGAAGAAGAAAGAACCAGAAGCCCAUAUGGUGGGAAUGGGAAGCCGUUAUACCCCUAAUUCAUAUUCAAACCAACCCCGACCUCGAAAUUAUCCACCUCUAAAUUUCUAUUAUCCUCCUCAAACCCCUUACUACCAAGCACCACCUCCUUCCUACCCCGUAUACGCCAUAAACAACCAAAGACCCGUCGCCACAUUCUCACAAAGCACUAUACCCUCUUAAAGCCAACCCAGAAACGAACCAAUACCAGCAAGGCCCAAUCCUGAGAGACCGCAAUUUACUCCUAUCCCUGUGUCGUAUGGGGAAUUGUACCCAAAUCUUUUAGAAAAAUAAUUGGUAUCUCCCCAUUAUAUGGCACCCCUAAAACCCCCGUACCCGAAAUGGUACGAUCCUAACGCUAGUUGUGUAUAUCACGCUGGGAACCAGGGACACUCUACGUCCAAGGAUUCAUCGAUGCGGGCAUUCUGUGAUUUAAUGGUAUUGGCGGUACGGCCGGGAACCCAUUCCCAAACCACACCAAAAGGAAUGCGAGCGUAGUGGGAGAAGAGGACAAACGGUAAAAUAGAAGAUGGGUUUCUGAAAUAAGAACACCUCUGCAGAAAAUCUGGAAGGUACUAGUUAAAAAGGGGUUGCUCUGUCAUCUUAACAGAGUAUUCGAAAGAAGAAAUGCAAAAGGCCAAAGUUUUUGCGAAUUCCAUGGUAUUGAGGGGCACGACAUUCAGUCCUGCGAGGAGUUCAGAAGAUUACUACAAAAUAUGAUGGAUAAUAAGGAGAUUGGGAUUUUUUAUAAAAGCGAAGAGGCUGAUAGAAGAGAAAUAUGUGCCUCUGACAAUCAAUCGUCAGGUUUUCCGUAUAGCACCGACCAACCGUUAAUAAUUUAUUACGACGCGAAGAAGGAGCUGGUGAAACCAAAAGUGAUAAUCGAAGUACCAUCUCCUUUCCCUUACAAGGAUGACAAGGCGAUACCGUGGAAAUACGACAUCAACAUCAUCACACCUGAAGGUGAAAAGUCCGAAACCAUAACCGGAAGUGUUAGAGAAGUAGGUCAUUUCACCCGCAGUGAGAGGUGUUAUUCUAAAAAAGUUGAGCCGGCAAAGAAAAAUAGUAACUUGAAAUAGAAAAGAAAAGCACCGAUGCACGUGACCGAAGAUGAGCAUGAAACUGUGCCUGAACAAGAAGCUAAAAAGCCUGUGGACGAGGAGGAAACACAAGAAUUCUUAAAAUUUAUCAAGCAUAGUGAAUAUAAUAUGGUGGAACAAUUGAAAAAGCAACCAGUACGAAUCUCGAUUUUAUCUCUACUGUAAAACUCAGAGCCACACCGGAACGCUUUGCUGAAGGUGUUAAAUCAAGCUUACGUAGCAAACAACAUAUCUGUUGAGAAGCUUGAUAGGUGGGUGAAUAAUCUGAACGCUGACAAUUUCAUCUCUUUUCAUGAUGAUGAGAUACCGCCAAACGGUAGAGGCUCAGUGAAAGCACUGCAUAUUACGAAUCGCUGCGAGGGCUACAUAAUACGAACGUGCUCAUCGAUAAUGGGUCAGCACUCAACGUCAUGCCUUUAGGCACACUUUCUAGAAUCCCGAUGGAUUUGUCCUAUUUAAGGCCCUGUCAUUCCAUAGUAAGGGCAUUCGAUGGGACAAGACGAGAAGUCAUGAGAAAGAUUGAGAUCCCUCUGGAAGUGGGCUCUUAUAUAUACGAUGUUGAAUUUCAAGUCACGGACAUUACACCAUCAUACAAUUGCCUCUUGGGAAGACCUUGGAUCCAUUCUGCUAGAGCAGUUCCGUCCCCUCUCCAUCAAAAAGUGAAGUUUAUCAUAGAUGGUUGUUUAGUCACUGUCGAGGGAGAAGAAGACAUUGUCGCAUCUAUCUCUACCGAUGCACCGUACCUGGAAGUGAGCAAAGAUACAAUAGAAUGUUCCUUCUGAUCCUUAGAAUUUGUCAAUGCCACUUUUGUUGCUGAAGGAAAUAGAAUUCCCAUGCCUAAGCUGUUAAGGAAUACCAAGUUGGGAGUUGAGCUGAUUGUGGGAAAAGAAGCCCAAGCAAGGAAAGGUUUGGGAAGGUAUCUGCAAGAAAUAGUCAGGGUUCUAAAGCCAGUGCACCACAAGGCCCGAUACUGUUUGGGGUUCCGGCUGAACAUGCGUCAAAGAAGAAAAUAAUGGAAGAAAGAUCAAGAAAGAAGGAUCGCAAGAACCUUAGGCUGAGAAAUAGAAUGGGGGCCCAUAACGUACCCUCCUUUGUCAAAAACAUUUACAUCUACAGGAAUGAUAUAUCCCGGACAAGAUAAUCCACGAAGCACACUGUUGAAAAAACAGUUUUUCAUGGCGUAAAAAUAUGAAAAAACAGCUUAAUAUAACUCUUCCAUAGCGUUUUUCUGAUGAGAAUGCAGAAAAAUAAAGAGAAAUCUAGAUAAUUCCACUUUAGUCCUAGCUUUAUUAAGUAAAUUUUGCAAUUUUUCAAAUUUUCCCUUAAUUCUCCUUAUUUUCUUGCUGAUUUCAUGCCCUUGCCGUCCAGCCCAAAUAUAAUUUGGGUCUAUUUUCCCUUUAAACCCUCUUUCUUUUAUCAACUAAGCUAUUUAAUCAUUUCUCACAAUUUUGCAUUUGAUACAAUUUAGUCCUUUUUGUUCAAUUAACUAUCAGAACUUUAAAAUUUCUUGAAGAAACUUUAAUACUAACAUAUUAACACUCCAUAAAUAUUUAUAAAAAUAUUUAUGGCUCGAUUUAAAAUUAUCGAGGUCUCGAUACCUCGUUUUCGAUUCUAAUUAUUUUAAUAUUUAUUUUUAGUACACUAUUCACUAUUUCAAAAUUUCUCCUAGCUUCACUUUUAAUUUAUACUCACUAAAUUAAUAAUAUUUCCUACUCAUUUUUCGGAUUUAGUGAUCUCGAAUCACUGUUCCGACACCACUGAAAAUUAGGCUGUUACACAACAUAUCCAGAAGAUAUGUAAUUUGCCUUUACAGGAAAAGAUGUCAACUAUCUUAUAUGAAGAUAAUACUACAUGUAUAGCUCAAUUGAAGGGUGGUUACAUCAAAGGUGAUAGAACGAAACAUAUUUCACCAAAAUUAUUAUUCACCCAUGAUCUUGAGAAAAGACGUGAUAUAAAUGUUCAACAAAUUCGUUCUAGUGAUAAUUUAGCAGACUGUUUUACUAAGGCAUUGCCAAUUUCACCAUUUGGAAGACUACUACAUAAGAUUGGAUUGCGUCAACUCAAAGAUGUAAUGUAAUGUUGCCAUCAGAGGGAGUCUAAAAACAAGUUGUACUCUUUUCCUUUAACCAAGGUUUUGUCCCAUUGGGUUUUCCUGGUAAAAGUUUUUAACGAGACAGUUGUAAUAAAAGAUUCUGUACUCUUUUUCCUUCAUUAACUUUUUUAUCCCACAGGAUUUUUCCUAAUAAGGUUUUAACGAGACACAUUAUCUACCAAUAGGCAUCCAAGGGGGGGUUUCCCAAUAAGUACAUUCUUUAUUGCUUUCAUAUUUUCUUUAUUCUUUAUUCUCACCAUAUUUCUUUAUUUUAUAAUAAUAAUUAAUUAUUUUCUCCAUUUAUUUUCUAAUAUUCUUCGAGGUUGAUAUCAUUUGCAUAAUCCUAUGGUUUCAAAAAAGGAAAAAAAAAGUUUUAGAUAAAGAAUCGAUAACUCAACUAUUCUUUAUAUAUGCUUUUAAAAAAAAUGUAUAUAUACAUGCAUGAUACUAAUUGACACAUUAAUUAAUGUUAUGAGUUAAUUGGACAUCAAUUCAAUUACAAAAAAAAAAUUAAAAAAUUAAAAAUUUUAAAAACAAUAAACUUUAUUAUAAGAAUAUUUAUGUUUUUCCAUACUUUAUAAAUUUUUUUAAAAUAAAUAAUUUAAAUUACUAGAAAGGAUGUAUGAAACUAUGAUUCCACGUCAUCCUAAUCAUUUUCCAAUGGAAGAAUGAAAAAUAAGAUUUUUUUUCUCUUGAUUUUUAGCUUUUUUCUGCUGAAAAAAAAUCAAAUCCAACUAAAAAUGCUAAAAAUUAAGAGAAAAAAUCUGAUUUGUCAUUCUUUUAUUGGAAAGGGAUAAGGAUGAUGUGAAAUCACAGUUUCAUACAAUCCUUUCUCUUAAACUACAACUUUAAAAUAAAUUAAAAAAAUAAAUGUUAAGCUUGAAAAUUCUUUAGAUAAAUGUUGGUUUGAUUUUAUAAAAUUUUUCAUAGUGACUUGUGUAUUACAUAAACCUGUACAAACACACAAAUAAUACCAAUAAAAAUUAUCAAUAUAUUUUCACUUCGGAUACAAAUAAUCAAAUUUCUUAUUUUCUCUCUCAUAUUUAUUCUGGUUAGUUGUUUAGUUAAUUAAUUUGAAUUGAAUUAAUUGUAUGGAAUCAGGGGGCGAAGUUAAAAAAAAUUUUGGACCGAAAUUAAAUUGUAAUUUUUACUAUAGGAAAAAUGUAAUUUUAUCAUGUUAAUAGUCUAUAUCUUUAUAUUUUUAAAUGAUUAAAUAAAAUUUUUAUCAUUUUUAAGGGGGCAAAGUAUAAUUUACCUUUACUAAUUUAAAAUUUUAAAAUACCUAAAUUCAAAAUUUUUCAUUUUAAGAAGAGCCGGGGCCCUGGCCAAUCCCCUAACUACACCCUGUAUGGAUUAAUACUAAUAUUAUAUUAGUUAGUUAUUAGGUCUAAUUGUUUUUUUUUUGCAAAGUUAGUAAAAUACAAAAAGGAUUGUUGAGAACAAUCCAAACAAGUUCAAUAACAGUUUUUUUAAAAAACGAAAAAAACAAAACAGCCUAGCAAAUAUUACUAAGCUGACAAAAACAACUUCAGUACUUGACUUUUGCAGAAAACAACAGACCAACCAAACAUCAUCCACUCUGCUUUAGCAGCAACUCACCAAGCAGCUUUAAAGAAGUUUUUCCUUGACAUGCCUGCCUUUGCUAAACUUUCCCCCAUUCCAUUCUUUUUAUGAUUAGUGACUGCAAAUUAGAUUUCAGCAAUAUGUCUACAUCCAUCUUCAAUUUCCGCAAAUAACUUCCUUAGCGACCAUGGACGAAGAUUUCUAUAUUUCAACCAAUUCGAUUAGCUUAUUUGACUUGUAUUUAUUUUGAUUAGCUUAAUUAAUUAAUGUGUAUUUAAGAUAUAAUCAAACUACUUGAUUUCAAGUUAAAUUAAUAACAUAUGAAUUAUUAUUAAUUACAUAAAAUUAUAACAUCUUAACUUGUAAACAUCUAUAGGAUAAAUUUUUAUCAUAAAUCAACUAUAACUUUACAGUAUCUUAAAUUUGAUUCCUUUGAACAAUAUUGUCCAGCAAGCAUAAGAACCUCCUUUUCCAAAAGCUUCAAAUUCUAUAUAUAUAUAUAUAUUUAUUAAAUUUGAUUCUUGAUUUUAUGUUACUUGUUCUUAUCAUAUGUAUUAUAAUUUUAUUUCAGUUUAUGCUCAAAACAUAACUGUAUAUAUACAUAUGACUUUAUCCAUACACAUAUGUCAUUUGCCUCUUCAAUAACGUUACUUUGAUAACAAAAUCUCUCAGAAAGAGAUUUAAAAACCUAGCAAAUUUGAUAGAACAGACAAAUUUGCAUAAAAUUCAAUAAAAGUUUCAUUCACUAGCAUUUCGAGAGUCAAAUUUUAUGAUUAGCAUCUAUAGCUUCAAUUGUUUCAAGAAUAUCACAUUUUUCUUCCACAAAAUGGCAUUCAAAGCCUUAAAAUUGGUUGCAAUUUGCAAGAGGUUCCCUUCCAAUGAGAAUUGCAUGCCGAGUCUUUUCAUCGAUUGAUUUUAUAAAAGUCUUCAUCCUUGCCUUUCAAUAUGUCUAAUUGGAUCCAUCCAACAUGGGGUUGUGAUAAACCUCAAAAGUAACAUAUUUUAAUCCUAUGCUUGGCAUAUUUUUGGAUGAUUUAUCAUAAGAUUUAGUGGAUUUGAUGCUCCUAAUCCUUUAAUUUCAUGUUUUAUAUCUAGAUAAGCAUAGGAAAGCAAAAAGUGCAAGAAAAAGGCCAAAAACGGACAGAAUGGGUUUAUUUCAGUGCUUCACACGGCCUGGACACUUCCACAUGGGUAAUCCACAUGCCCGUGUGAGACACACGGGUAGGCUAGACGCCCGUGUGUCAUGGCCGUGUCAACUUAAAACCAUGUCAAAAUUACACACUGCCUGAGCACCAUCACACGGUCGUGCCACACUGCUGUGUCCCUGUCGAGACCUAUUUAAUUCUACUCGAAAAAGUCUAAUUUUGGGCUAUUUUUGGGCAUUCGAAAGUCUAUUUAAACACACGAGAAGAGGAUCAAAGGACAAGGGGUAGAAGGCAGAGAAUACUGGAAGAUAGCCAUCGGAAUCAGCUCGAAAGCAGGAUCUACUUCAAGACUGAAGAUCUCCAUUCAAUUUCCUUAAAAGUUCUUUGGGUUUCUUUAUGUUUUGUUGUUUUCCCAAUUUUGAGAUGUUUUCCCUCAUCGUUAUGAACUAAACUCCCUAAAUAUCUAAGGGAGAUGAAACUUAAGACAAAUCUUAUUACUAUUUGAAUUAUAUGAUAAAUACUUGUUCUUAUUCUUAAUUAUGUGUUCUUAAUUCUUGCUUUAAUAUUUCAGGAUAUUAAUUCAAGUCUGAUGUGCCUAUUUAGUAGAGCAAAAGUCCCUGUUUAAGAGUAGAUCUAGCAUAAUUAAGCGGAGUUGAAUGCAAUUCUAGACAUAGGAUGACGUAAAUCUGUCGGAUUAGAGUCAAAUCUAAUAAGGGAAUCCAUAGAUCGAGUUAAUGUGAUAAUAGAGAUUUUAAUUAGAAAGAUAUUUCAAUUAAUCAACCUAGAGUCAGUUGUUUUUAGUCUUGAGAGAGAUAUUAACAUAAAUCAGGGACUUUUGCUCUACUGAAUAAGCACAUCAAACUUGGAUUAAUAUCCUGAAAACAUUAAGGCAAGGAUUAAAAACACAUAAUUAAGAACAAGAACAAGUAUUUAUCAUGUAAUUCAGAUAAUUAAAUAAAAAGAUUCGUCAUAGGUUUCAUCCUCCCUAGGUAUUUAGGGAGUUUAGUUCAUCAUGUAAAAGGAAAACAUCUCAAAUUUAGAAAAAUAGCAAGACAUAAAAAACCCAAAUAAACUUCGAGAGAAAUUUGAAUGGAGAUUUUCAAUCUUGAAAUGGAUCUGCUUCCAGGAUUAUUCCAACGGCUUUCUUCGAAUAAUUUUUGCUUUCUUCUCCGUGUGUCCUUAGGUCUUCUUAUAGUGUGUUUAUAUAGAAUUUAGAAUGCUCAGAAACCCUAAAAAUUAGCUUUUUCUGCGUGUUUGGGAAAUAGGGAGCGAUAUCAACACGAGCAGGACACAUGGGCGUGUGACCAGCCCGUCUUGUAACGACACAAAAUUCGUGGGAUCGAAAAAGUACAUUAUCAGGCCUCCGUCUUAGCGAAACGAAGACAAAUCGAAGAAAAAUUCAUCCUAAUAGUAAUAUGAGAAAAUUACUUAAACACAAGACAUAAUUCAGAGAUUUUCUGAUAACCAUAUAAAUAAUCUCCCUACACUUAAGAUGUAUAUUGUCCUCAAUGUACGAAAAUAGAUAAUCACAGUAGAAAUAUAAAUAUCAUAAGAGAGGAAGAGAAUUGAAACUGUCCUGAAUAUUGGAUGAAAUUCCCAAAAUAGUGAAAAGCAGAAUUGUAGAUAAAUGUAGAGGUAGUGCAAAAUUCUGAGCAACUGAUAAGAAGAUAAAUACAAUACUGAAGAGGAUUAAGAAGGUUACUCGAUUAGAAACAAACAUAAUAAUUAAAAUAAAGUUCAAAAUAUAAAAACAAAAUAAAAAUAAAAAUAAAGAUAAAAAUAAAAAAAUAAACACAAAGAUAAAUGAACUCAAUGGUCCUCAUCAUCAGAUUGAACAAUGUCACGAGCCAGUGGCGCUGAAGGAGAAAUAUGAAAAUGCUGCUGCAAUGUGGCAUCAAUACUGUCAAACCUCUCAGCACAGUACUGAUGGAAACUGGUGAAUUCCUCGUAGGAUACUCCUCGAGAGCUAGUAGCAGAGGGAGUGUGUCGGUGACUCGAUGGUGGAGGCUAUGGUGGGUCCUCGUGAUAGGGAGGAACAUCAUCAGUGAAGUCCUCUAGGUCAUGCUGAACGUCAGACUGGACUAGUCUGUACUGAGGGGGGUCCACUCCAUGUCGCCGCUCGAUCAUCCUCAUGUGGAUCAUACUCGAGAUGCCCUGAAGGGACAUUUGACCAACUAGGGUGAGUGUCGAGGACUACUCCGAAGUGUUGAGAAGAUCGAAGUGUCGAGCGAGGCGAGUCACGUAAGGACUAGACAGAUGGGGCCCCUCUCAUGGCGGUCAAUAUGAUGGCGGAAAGAUAAAGCGAUAAAGUACGACAAAUCCAUAAUAUGGCCGUAGGCCAUGCUCCACAAGAAGUAUGCGUCAUGCGUGCUCACGACUCCAGUGCUCUCUCUCCGUCCUGUCAAUGUGUGAGCGAGGAGUGCGUGAAUAUAUCAUAGGGCCGGAGAGAGAGAAGUCGCCUUCAAGCGACUUGCGUCAUAUGGAGUCUGGCCACCGGUGAGAUCGGUCCAACAACGCGAAAGCGAGUGAUAGAUGUGUCGAUGAAGCUGAAGGAAGUCCUCGGCAGACAUGAACUCCUCUGUGUAGAGUCUCAAAGUAGCACCAAACUUGAUAAACCGUAAUUUAUACAUAUUUUUAUCCCAUGCUUAACAUGUUUUUGGAUGAUUUCUCCGUAGAAUUGGUGAAUUCGAUGCUCCUAAUCUUUUAAUUUCAUGUUUUAUACUUAGGUGAACUUAGGACAGUAAAAAGAGCGAGAAACGGGCCGAAAAUAGAGAAAAUGGGCUAACAUAAUAAAUCAAAACGGCCUGGACUUCCUCACAAGGGUAGACCACACGGUCGUGUCAGUUUGGCAGAAUCGAAACACGACUCACACGGGUAGACCAUACGCCCGUGCCUAUUUAACAUCCUCGACCACGGCUUGAAGCCUAUUGCACACGGGCGUGUCCCUGUCGAGCCCAAGUAUAGUCCUAUUUGAAAAAGGCCACUUUUGAGGGCUUUUAGGCAUUGUAAAACCCUAUAUAAACACCCUAGGACAAGAGGAGAAAGGGACGCAGGGUAGGAAGGAAUGAAUUACUCGAAGAAAGCCGAUUGAUCCAUCUCAAAAGCCGGAUUCACCUUCAAGACGGAAUAUCUCCUCUCAACUUCCCUUUAGGAGUUUUGGGUUUUCUUUAUGUUUUGUAUUCAUUAUUCUUCUGAGAUGUUUUAUUUUAUAAUUAUGAACUAAACCCCUAAAUACCUAAGGGGAAAGAAACCUAAGAUGAAUCUUGUUAUUAUUUAAUUCUUGCUUCAAUAUUUCAAAAUAUUUUUUCAAGUUUAUGCACUUAUUCGGAGGAGCAAAAGUCCCUGUCUAAGAGUAACUUUGACAUAAGUAAGCAGAGUUGAUUGCACGCCUAGACAUAGGGUGACAAGAUUUUGCCGAAUUAGGGUGAAACCUAAUAAGGGAAUCCAUAGAAUGAAUUAAUGCAACACUAGGGAAUUAAUUAGAAAAAGAUUUCAAUUAAUCAACCUAGGGUUAGAAAUUGUUAGUCUCGAUGGAGAUAAUAAUAUAACUUAGAGAUUUUUACGGAUCAAGUCAAAUGAAUAAAUCGUCCGAUUUAGAGUCAAAUAACAAGUAAGUCUAGGUGGAUUUUUCCUUGGGUAUUGUCUUAAUCAAUCAGUUUUUCCUAAAAGUAUUUUCCCCAAUUUUCUCUCUGUGCACCUUUAGUUUAGAUAAUUAGUUUAGAUAAACAAAUUUCUUAAUUUUUAGGCUAGAUAAUAACAAGAAAGUAAUUACUAGUACUUUUAGUUCUUUUGGGUUCGACAAUCCAGUCUUGCUAAAGCUAUACUACUGUUCGAUAGGUACACUUGCCUUUUAUCGUGAUAAUAGUUAGUUUCAAGAAUGAUUAAUUAUAAAUAUUUAAAACCUGUCGCGAAUAUCACAUAUCAAGUUUUUGGCGCCGUUGCUUGGGAACUAAGAUAUUAGGAACACUCAAUUUUUAUUACUUUAGCCAUUUAAUUUUAUUACAAUUUAAAUUUUGUUUUGAUUUUAUGUUACUAAAUUCUCUUUUUCCUUCUUCUGGCAGGUUCUUAUAGUUUAUGACUAGAAGAAACCCGUCAGGACCAUUACUCUUUGACGGUGAGAUCGAACGAACAGUUUGCAAAAACCAAAGAGAAAUAAAGUAAAGCUUAAGAUACACAGGGGAAGAGCAAGAGGACGAUAUUCAAACCACAACCGAGGAGAUGGCUGAAAAUCGGUAAAACCCGAUACCUCUUGCGAUUGUUGCUGAUCCAGUAAAUUAGAAUCCUACUCCACGCACUAUGUAUGAUUAUGCUAAACCUACUUUAACAGGAACUGAAUUGAGUAUAGUUAGACUUGCUAUUGCUGCAAAUAAUUUUGAAUUGAAACCUAACACAAUUCAAAUGAUACAACAGUUUGUUCAGUUUGAUAGUUUGCAGGAUGAUGAUCCAAAUACUCAUUUGGCGAAUUUUUUGGAAUUCUGCGAUACUUUUAAAAUUAAUGGCAUUUUUUACGAUGCCAUACGUCUUCAGUUGUUUCCCUUUUGGUUGAGGAACAAAGCUAAAUAGUGGUUGAACUGGUUACCACGAGGGUCAAUUACUACUUGGGAACAAAUGACUGAAAAGUUUUUAUUAAAAUAUUUUUCGCCGGCUAAAACGGCUAAAUUACAUAAUGAUAUCUCUUCUUUUGUGCAGAUAGAUUUAGAAACAAUUUACGAUGCAUGGGAGAGAUACAAGGACCUCUUAAGAAGAUGCCCUCACCAUGGGUUAGCACUCUGGCUACAGGUUCAAACGUUUCACAAUGGCCUAAACCCCUCGACUCGACAAAUGGUUGACGCAGCCGCUGGUGAAUAACAAAACAACUGAAGAGGGUUACGAAUUUAUAGAAGAAAUGUCACUGAAUAAUUAUCAGUGGAAAGUUAUGAGGACAAAACUGACGAAAGCAGCAGGUGUUUUUAACUUCGAUUCAGUCACUAUGCUCUCAAAUCAGGUAGAACUUUUCAAUAAGGAAAUUGGCAGUUUACUUAGUUCUCCACAGGUACAGCCAAUGAUGAGAUGUGAUUCAAACGGAGGAGGAAUAUACACAAAUGAUCCAACAUUCAAAACGAAGGAUGAGUAUACACAAAUGAUCCAACAUUCAAUCCUAGCACCGAGGAGGAACAAGUUCAAUCUAUGGGUAAUAAUAAUUCUAGACCUCAAAAUAACCCAUACAGUAAUACUUAUAAUGCAGGUUGGAGGAACCACCCCAAUUUUUCAUGGGGAGGUCAAGGGAAUCCAAGGUCACAAGAUCCUCCAAGUUUUCAACAACCUCCUUACCAGUAGGAAAAGAAGCCGAACCUUGAAGAGAUGCUCACAAAAUUUAUCUUGGUGUCAGAAACUCGUUUUCAGAAUACUGAAACAGCACUUAAAAAUUAACAAGCGUCAAUCUAAAGACUCGAAACUCAAAUAGGACAGCUUGCCAAGUUGAUUUCUGAACGACCACAAGGUAGCCUGCCAAGCAACACUAAAUCUAACCUAAUGGAGCAACUCAAUGUGAUUACUACUCAAAAUGGGGAAGGAUUAGUUACACUAGAACCAGAACCAAGGCAAGAAACUGUGGUAAGAAAAGGUAAAGGUGAAGCAGGCCACAAUGAGUAGAAAUCGGUAAGUGCAGAAUACAAACCUCGUGUGCCCCCUCAGACAAACAAUUUGGUAAAUUUCUCAAACUAUUAAAGAAAUUACAUAUUAACUUCCGUUUAUUGAAGCUUUUUCGCAGAUAUUGAAUGCAGUCAAAUUUUUAAAGGAGCUUCUAGCAAAUAAAAGGAAGUUAGAUGAAGCGUCGCAUGUGGAGCUAAACGCAGUUUGCUCAGCCAUUCUACAGAAUAAGCUGCCCAACAAAUAAAAAGAUCCAGGGAGUUUUACGAUUCCUUGUUUAAUUGGUAGCUUAGAUGUUAAUAAUGCGUUGGUUGAUUUAGGGGCUAGUAUUAAUGUCAUACCUUAUAAAAUGUUUAAGCAACUAGGUCUUCGGAAACCCAAACAAACUAAGAUGAGUAUUCAAUUAGCAUACAAAACUAUUAGAUUUCCUAGGGGUAUUAUUGAAUAUGUACUUGUUAAAAUUGACAAAUUUAUAUUCCCAGUUGAUUUUGUUGUUCUAGACAUAGAAGAGGACAGUAACACUCCUUUAAUUUUAGGAAGGCCCUUUUUAGUAACUGCCAGAACAAUUAUUGACGUUGGCACAGGUGAACUCACACUUCGUGUGGGAGAUGAAACAAUCACCCUUCAAGCUCGUAAUUCGAGUAACACAUUGAAAAUUGAAGGUGAUUGUACAGAUCGUUCUACUAAAACUGACCAUAUGGUGCAACCUACUUUCCAGGAAAUAAGUUUGAAAAGCAUGCAUGAGCCAUGUUUAAGCAACAACAAAGGACCCAUCUAUAAAGAACGGAGGCUACAGAUUGAGGAAUUAGAUGAAUGGCGGACACAGAAACUGAGAACACUCGAUAGACCAAAACCAAGCCAAGAUGAACUCAAUUUCUUACCAAAUCAACUUAAGGUUGGAGACAAAGUACUACUAAAUGUAGCAGAUCCCUGUAUUGCUACUACUGAACCUAAUGGAACAACCCCUCUUACGGUACUUAGCAUUUUCCCAUUCGGUACAGUCGAAGUAAUUCAUACCAAAUUUGACACUUUUAAGGUAAAUAGUACCUAUCUGAAACCUUAUUUUGGUAAGAAUGAUAGCAGGAAUGAGGAGUGUGAAUUCCUCGCACCACCUUGACCACGCAACAAGAGAGGUAAGUCGAGCUUAGACUAUAAACAAGCGCCUCUCGGGAGGCAACCCGAGCACUAACAUUAUUAACCAGUUCAUUCUUUUUCUUAGUGUUUUCUGUACAAGAAGAGUAAACCAGUGCGACAUGGCCGUGGGUAAGACUGUCAAAUCAACACAAGCGGGUGACACGUCCCGUGCCUACAAGCUGUGGUUUAAACUGAGAAAUUAACACUGGCGUGUGAUACGCCCGUACCCAACACCCGUGGUCGACACUGUCAAACUAACACUGGUGUGGGCCUUCAUACAAGGGUGUGGGAGAAGCGAAUAACAUCGCACAUGGUUGUGCGAUACGACCGUGCAAACCACACGGCCGGGACACAUGGGCAUGCCUUCAGGCCGUGUUAGACAAUAAAAGUUCAUGAUACACACGGGCUAAACUCGAACCACACGGGCGUGUGACACGACCGUGUGGCCCAAGUCUAUUUAUUUUAAUUUUAUUUCCCUUCAUUUAUUUUAUUAUUUUUCAUACUUCGCUUAUAUUUAUGGUUAUUUUCGAAUUAUUCCUUAAUUCUCUUCCAAAGUAGUGUUUAUUUUCUCAGAAUCAAGCCUUUCAUUAGCCUUAUUUACAAUUCCUAUUUUUUCUCUUCCAAGGAUUUCAUCCGAAAAUUCAGGGCAGUUUCGUUUUUCUCCCUCUAUCUUUUGAUAUUCUCUUUACAUCACUAUUAUAUAUCUUUGUACAUUGAUGACAAUGUACAUCUUAAGUGUGGGGGGAAUAUAUAUAUAUCUAUAUCAUAAAAUCCCUGAAUGUUGUCUUAUUCUCAUGUGAUCUUCUCAUAUCACUAUUAGAAUGAAUUUUGAUUAAUUUAUAAUUUUUAUUAAUAUGUCUUAAAUUAAAAUAUAGGCAUUCAUACAUUGAUUGUUUAAACUUUAAGACAUUAGAGAAUCAAGCAUGAUAAGUUGAUUUUUGAGAAUUAAAUGUUUUAGGUUGUUUCCCCAAGUUUAGAUAUUAUCUUGAAUUGAAAUUCAUAGUUUUAAACAUCAAAAGCCAUAAUUUUUAUGAGAUUUUGAGCCUUUAGAGCAUCUAUUAUUUCUUUUAUGCUCACUUUUAUUAUUGCUAUGAGUGUGUCAAUAUUGAUUUGUUAUUCUAGAACUUGCUUGAUUAUGCAUGUCAAGACCACACCAUUUGAUUUGAUAUGUCAAAAUGAUAAAGGCACCUAGAUUUAACCCACUUACUCCAUAAAAAGCCUACCUUCACAAUUAACCCUUAGUGAACCCCCUUGAGCCUAACAAGCCAUUCCUGGAUGUAUCCCCAAUAUUAACCCAUAACUCAUUAUUUUUGAAAUCCCUUCAAUUAAUUUGAUCUCUAUUUUUGUCGAGAUUUGAUUUGAAUAAAUUGCUCAGCUAUGUUUUUAGUUAUCCUAUUUUUUCUUAAAAAAAACAUACAUAUAUACAUAUUAGUAGUAAUCUUUCGAGCUUAAGUAUUUAAUUCCAUAUUCUGAGAUGAAGCUCAUUUUUAUUCAAGUGUAAUUUGUAUUUUUCUAGUUAGGUACUUUUUCAAUUCAAUCUUGAUUCUAACCUUUUCUUUCAACUUGUGACAAUACCCCCUAACCGAAGCCACGUUACAACCCUUUAAAGACCUUUUGAUUGAUGUAUCAUCUCAAUAUAUAGUGGUGGAGAUUUGAUUUUCAUGCAAGCCUAUGGUAAUAACUUUUCAUAUUGGCUAAUGAGUGCUAAUUUUCUUGUCCUUAAACACCUCGAGUGAUUUGAAUGAAUCUUUAGUGAUGAUGUUAAAUCAAAGGUAAUUACUUAGACUAGUGGAGACACCUAUGUUUUCGUACUAAAAUGCUCAACUUGGAAUGUUUGAAACUUUGAUGAUUUUUAGUUGAAUUUUCAAUGUAUGAUUACUUAUAAAUUAGUUUGAGAUAUUAUCGAUAAGAAUUAUAAGUUGAGAAGAAUUUACUUUGAUUGUAAGUUAAGAGUUUUGCUUGAGGACAAGCAAACGCUUAAGUGUGGGGGUAUUUGAUAAAUCGUAAUUUAUACAUAUUUUUAUCCUAUGCUUAGCACGUUUUUGGAUGAUUUCUCCUUAGAAUUGGUGAAUUCGAUGCUCCUAAUCCUUUAAUUUCAUGUUUUAUACUUAGGUGAACUUAGGAGAGUAAAAAGAGCAAGAAACGGGCUGAAAAUAGAGAAAAUGGGCCAACAUAGGAAAUCAACACGGCCUGGGCUUCCUCACACGGGUAGACUACACGGCCGUGUCAAUUUGGCUGAAUCGAAGCACGACUCACACGGGUAGACCACACACCGUGCCUAUUUAACAGCAUCAACCACGGCUUGAAGCUUAUCGCACACGGGCGUGUCCCUGUCGAGCCCAAGUAUAGUUCUAUUAGGAAAAUGCCACUUUUAAGGGCUUUUAGGCAUUCUAAAACCCUAUAUAAACACCCUAGGACAAGAGGAAAAAGGGACGAAGGGUAGGAAAGAAGGAAUUACUCGAAGAGAGCCGAUUGAUCCAUCUCAGAAGCCAGAUUCACCUUCAAGACGGAAGAUCUCCCCUCAACUUCCCUUCAAGAUUUUUGGGUUUUCUUUAUGUUUUGUAUUCAUUAUUCUACUAAGAUGUUUUAUUUUAUAAUUAUGAACUAAACCCAUAAAUACCUAAGGGGAAUAAAACUUAAGAUGAAUCUUGUUAUUAUUUUCUGGAUUGUAUGAUAAAUAUUUGACUUGUUCUUAAUUAUGUGUUCUUAAUUCUUUCUUCAAUAUUUCAGGAUAUUUUUUCAAGUUCAUGCGCUUAUUCGGAGGAGCAAAAUUCCCUGUCUAAGAGUAACUUUGUCAUAAUUAAGCGGAGUUGAUUGCACGCCUAGACAUAGGGUGACAAAAUUUUGCCGGAUUAGGGUGAAACCUAAUAAGGGAAUCUAUAGAACGAAUUAAUGCAACACUAGGGAGUUAAUUAGAAAGAGAUUUCAAUUAAUCAACCUAGGGUUAGACGUUGUUAGUCUCGACGGAGAUAAUAAUAUAACUUAGGGAUUUCUACGAAUCAAGUCAAAUGAAUAAAUCAUCCAAUUCAAAGUCAAAUAACAAGUGAAGUCUAGGUGGAUUUUUCCUUGGGUAUUGUCUUAAUCAAUCAGUUUUUCCUAAAAGUAUUUUCCCCAAUUUUCUCUCUGUGCACCUUUAGUUUAGAUAAACAAAUCUCUUAAUUUUUAGGCUAGAUAAUAAAAAGAAAGUAAUUACUAGUACUUUUAGUUCCUUUAGGUUCGACAAUCUGGUCUUGCUAAAGCUAUAUUACUGUUUGAUAGGUACACUUGCCUUUUAUCGUGAUAAUAGUUAGUUUCAAGAACGAUUAAUUAUAAAUAUUUAAAACCUAUCGUGAAUAUCACGUAUCAGAACUCUGGGACGCUCAUAUGUCGCACCAAACCACCGAGGCAAAAAGUGAUGGUACCUGGCUCAUCAUGGACCGAGAUGACCUGCUGGACCGAAAAUGUAGCGCAGAGCUCUAAGGUAAACUCCGUGUAAGUGGGCUCGAUGAUGGUGAAGAACCUAUGUGGCAAUAAUCGCGCGCACAUCAUCAGCCAAAUGGACCUACUCUAGUACGGCCCAAUCAAUGCAUCAACCCAAACCUAGUGGUCGUACUCGAUGUAGCUGGUAUAAAUCCUCCUGUGGACCUGCCGCAAAUCGAAGGUAGGGGUAGCGAGCCUCGGCAGAUGCGAUCAGGGAUGAGGUCGAGCCGAGGCCCUUCCGCUUUUCCGAAGCGGGGACUGGGACUUUAGAUUUGCCUCGUGUGUUCGUCAUAGUGUGCCUGAAAAGUAAAAGAAUGUAUCAAUAAUUGCAUCACAAAAUAAAAUCCAAGUAGUCCUAAAUAAGAAAUUUCUCCUAAAACAGUAUGUUUGAAUACUAAAGCAUGCAAAAAAUAGAAAGUGCAAUUAGCAUGAAUCAAAGUGGUGAAAAUACUAGGAGUAUAAAAUCAAAUAACAAGAUCAUAAAAUACAGAUUUUAAAAGUACAAGCAGGGAUAAAUAACUAAAUCAAAGAAUAAUAAUAAUUGGAACAAUGAGCAAGGAAGUCAACAGACUAACUAAUAAUGAAUCGUAAUAAUGGCAGUAAACAAAUAUUAAGUGAAUAAAUGAAGAAAAACUAAGAAUAAACAAUAAUAGAGAAUAAACAAAAGAGAAAUAAAAUAAAAUAAAAUAAUUAAUAAUAAUAAUUAAAAAUGAAGACAUAAUAAAGCAAAUAAGAUAAUAGGUAGAAGAGGGGACCGACGGUGGUAGUUUCUAGACGAUAACGAUGGUAGUUUCUAGAUGAUGACGAUGGUGCGGGACGGCGGUGGUUAUGGUUGGGGCUGGUCGGUGGAGGGAGAAUGGGGAAGGGAAUGGUUCGGUCUAGGGAGAGGGAGGAGCUGGGAGGUUUGUGCUAGGGCCGGCCAAGUGUAAGUUGAGAGGGGGGUUUGGGUGAGAUUUUAAGUGGCUGGUCGCGGCUGGUGUGGGCUGGCUGGGGGUUGUAUGUGCCAGAGGGUUUGAGUAGAGUAGAGGGGUUGCUUGUUUGUCAUGGAGGUGGCGUGGGUGAAGGCCGACGGGGGUGUCAUGAGGUGGGGGACAGGGUCGUGGGUGUCGUGGGUUUUAGGAUAUGGGACUAGGGAAAGGUGGGAAAGAAAAAAGGGAAGAAGAAGGGGAACUGAGGGAAUAGGGCGACCGAAUCGAGGGAGUAUGGCGACGGUUGGAGAGAAUGGGUUGUCGAUGGUGGUCGAACGGUGAGCAAGGAGAAUGAGCGGCAGCUAAGGGUGAAAGUUGGAGGAAAAAGACAAACUAAAAAAAAAUUCAAAAGGGAUUUAGGGUUUAAAAGGGGACACGAUCGUGUUAGGUUCGUGUUGGGCCACACGGUCGUGUCACACAUCCGUGUGGUCUCUAUUUAGCCCGUGUGCGUUCAAUAAUCCACUUGUAUUGCAUUGCAUCACCGGAUGUACCUGUAACAGACGUGUGCCCCUAAUUGGGUGCUAACAUCAGAAACAAAAUGUCAAGGUUUUUAGACACAGGCUAGGACACGGGCGUGUUAUGGCCGUGUGAGGGAUACGGGCGUGUCAUGGCCGUGUGAGGGACACGGGCCAUGGACACAAACGUCUGUCAAGCUGUGUGAAAACCCCUAUAGGUUUGAAUUUAGAAUUUAAUUCAUACGGGCUCAGGACACAAGCGUCUCCCCUUGUGCUUAAGCCGUGUGACCCGCAUGGGCCAUUAGCAUGGCCAUGUCAUAAUGACUACACAGGCGUGUUGCCUUUCCAUACGGGCGUAUGUCCUGCUUCAAGGAGUAUUUUUCAAAAGUUUUUAAAGAUGUUGGGAUUAAUCCCGGGAUAUUUCCAAAGCGUGAUUUGGGCCUCAUAGGCCCAAAUUAAGAGCUUCUUGAUUAAAAAGGAAAAGUUUUAAAUUAGACCUAGUUCUUAUAACUUGAAAUUGAUUGUAUACAUGUGUUUAAGUGUGGUAACGCCUCGUAUUCCAUCCUAACAUAGGGCACGGGUGUGGGGUGUUACAUUUAGUGGUAUCAGAGCUAUGGUUUAGUCGCUUCUAGGACUAACCUAGCAUGAGUACCAGUCUAGCUAUACAUGCCAUAGUUGUAUAUUGAUAGUGUGACGACUCCUAACGAUUAUAAAUUAUGUUUUCAAAUAGUAAAUGGAUCCUGACGUAGCUACGGCAGAUGAUGUGGAGAGUAAUACGUCGGCUCUCGCUAAAGGGACUGUGCCAACAGAUAGUAGGCCCGUGACAUUGAGUUAGGUCAGAGGGGCUAGAGAGGCUUACCUCCACAUAAUGGACGCGUGGUAUUCGGAGUUCAUUCGCGUGAAUCUGAAUACUCAACCUCUCCCACCUCCCCCAAAUUCCUCAACCCGUUCAUAUAGCUCCUCAAGAAGCAGAAAUGGCCAGAAGAGAGAAACCUCUAGUAGAUAGAAUUAGAAAGCAAUGGGCCGAGGAAUUUCGGGCGAAUAUUGAUGAUGACCUAGAGAGAGCAGAGUUUUGACUAGAAAAUACCAUUAGACUCAGCCUACCAAUGGUGGAACACCGUUGUGUCGGUUGUAACAGGGAAAGGAUUACAUGAGAGUUUUUCCAAGAGGAAUUUCCAAAGAAGUAUAUCAAUCAAAGGUUUAUAGAUCAGAAGAGGAAGGAAUUUCUAGAAUUGAAGCAAGACCGAAUGAUACUAACAGAGUAUGAGCAUGAGUUCGUGACGCUCAGCAAGUACAUUAGGGAGUGCGUAUCUACCGAAGCCGUCAUGCCCAAGAGAUUUGAGGACGAAUUAAAUGAAGACAUCUGAUUAUUAGUUGGCAUCUUAGAAUUGAAGGAAUUUGUGGUGCUCGUGGAGAGAGCAUGUAAAGCCGAGGAAUUGGCCAAAGAGAAGAGAAAAGCUGAUAUCGAGUCCCGAGACUCAAAGAAAAGAUAGAUAGGGAAAUCACAUCAAACCUUAUCCAAGAGAUCGAGAGAGUUCACUACCCGAUCAAAUGCUUCAGUGGGAUUUUCAAGUAGAAACAAGAACAAGCAGUACACGACGUCCAAAGCCCAAACCACUUCUAUCGCGAGUGCUCGGCCAAAUAGGCUGGAGUGUUUGCAAUGUGGUAGGCGUCAUUUCAGUGAGUGCCGAGGGAAUGAGAGGGGUUGCUUCAAAUGCAGAUCACUAGACCACUUCAUCCGAAACUGUCCCGAAUUAGAAGAUAAAGAGAAAAAGCUACAUAUGAGGGUGAGUAGUGCUCCUUCAAGGGGUAGACCACAGAAGAACCUGGGUAGUGGGGCUAGCAGCAGAGGUGCUCCUAGAGAUUUAGUUGUGAGGUCCGAGGGUUGAGCACCUACAAAGACUUAUGCCAUUCGCACUCGCGAAGAGGUAUCUUCACCAGAUGUGAUUACGGGUACUUUUUCUCUUCAUGAUAUUUCUAUUAUUGCUUUAAUUGAUUUGGGAUCUACCCAUUCUUAUGUAGUACCCAGUAUGAAUAUGCUAGUUUGAACCUACUAAAACUGUGGUGAAAGUGUUUGACCCAUUAGGCAAACAUGUGUUGGUAGACCAAGUAUGUGACAGCCCAAUUUUCAGUGGUGUCGGAAACAGUGAUUUGAGAUCACUAAAUCCGACAAGUAUGUGUGAAAAUUUAAUAAAUUAAUAAUUAUGAGUCAAGUGUGAAUUUAGAAGAAUUUUUGAAUUAGUGAAUUUUGUGUUUAAAAAAAGAGAAAAAAGAAUUUAAUAAGUAAAUUGGGUCUAAAACGAAGAUCGAGACCUCAAAUGCAUAAGUUGAGCCAUAAAUAUUUUUAUAAAUAUUUAUGGAGUGUCAUUGAGAUAGUAUUAAAGUUUUGUUAGAAAAUUUUAACGUUUGGAUAGUCAAUUAAUUAAAAAGGACUAAAUUGAAAAAGGUGCAAAACUUGCUAAAAUGAUUAAAUAGCUCAAGUGUUAAAUGAAGGAGGACUUAAGAGGAAAAUUAGCCUAAAGGGAAUGGAUGAGGUGGCAUAAGCAAGAAAAAAAUCUAGAAUUAGGUGAACUAAGGGUAAAAUGGUAAAUUUCACAAAAUUAAACAAAAAAAUUGAAAUUGAAAGAGAUUUCUAGGCCAUUCUUCUCAUAAUUUCGGCCAGACAGCCAUGGGAGAGAACUUUUAAGCUGGUUUUGCACAAUUUUACUGCAUGUGAGUUUAUUUCUUGCCCUUUUCUUAUAAUUUUUGUAUUUUUCAAACUUUUACAAUUAGGUCUAACUAUCUAAUUCAUUAGUUUUUGAUUUUAUGGGUGACUUUAAAAGUUACCAUGAAUAAGUUCUGUAUGAUUAUGGUGAAUUAUUAUGGAAUUUAAGAUCUUAUUUUAUUAUAUGAUGAUUUUAUUAAGUGAUUUUGAUAGAAAUUGAAUUUAGGACCUAAUUGUGAAAAAGUUGUGAAUUAAGGUUUUGUGCUAAAAUUAUGAUAUUCAAAGGUUUUGUAGUAGCUUAGAAUGAAUAAAUAAAGUGUUAAUUGAGAAAAAUUAGCUCAAUUGAUGGGUUAAUUGAACAGGGACUAAAUUGUAAAAAAUUGUAAAAUUUGGGGCAAAAGUAUAAUUUUAGGAAUUAAAGGGUAUGAACUGUGAAGUAGAGUAAAAUUGAAAUGAAUGCUAAUAAAUGAAUGAUUUUAUAAUUAUAGAUCAAGAACCCGAAGUGAAUCGUGGAAAAGAGAAAAUAGUCGAUUAGUCCCUGAACUUGUAUGACUUUUGUGAAUUUGCCAAGGUAAGUUCAUAUGAUUUUUAAUAAUGCAAUGUGUAAUUUAAUGUUUUGAAAUGAAAAUUUCAUGAAUGAUAUAGUAUAUUAUUGCAUAUAAAAUGCCUUUAAACUAUGAUAGUUGUAAAAUGAUAUUUGAAUAAAAGUACAAAUUAAAUGAAACGACGGACUUGAGUACUUUCAUUCAGUGGCUAAGACGAAUUGACGGAAAAGACCAUGGUUGGACCAUGGCAACAUGUGAAAUGUGAUUUCUGUAUAAGACCAUAGCUAGGCUAUGGCAUCAGAGAGAUGUGAUAUAUGCUUUCGUAUAAGACCAUAUCCGGGAUAUGGCAUCGGUGUGAUAUGUGCUACUAUAUAAGACCAUAUCUGGGAUAUGGCAUCAGUGUGAUAUGUGAUCCGUGUAAGACCAUGAUUGGGCUAUGGCCUCGGUAUGUGAUAUGUGACUAUGUGCAAGACCAUAAUUUUACUAUGGCAUUGUGAUAAUGAGGUACUCAAUUCCGUAAUCGUUCCCUAAUUUGAUUAUGAACGAAAUUGUGAAAUGGUCCAAAAGGAUUAAGAAUUGGUGAAUAUUAUGAAAAUGACAUGAUUUGGAAUAAGUUCUUGAUACUUAAUGACAUUGAGAUUAUGGAUCUAUGUUUAUCAAGCAUAAUUAUGUGUGCUUACCAUGAUGGAUGAAAUGAUAUUGUAUGGAUUUAGUGAAUAAUAGUGGUGAAUGAAUAAAUAUGGCCUUGGCAGUUUUGGGUUACUGCAGUAGUGUAAAUUUGGAAAUUCACCAUAAAUUGUGGAAAUUGAGUUAGGGGCUGAAUAAAAUAUGAUAUUAAAUCCUGAUGAGUCUAGUUUCACAUAGAGGAAACGGUUCAUGCAAUUGGAUUUUAUGUUAUUAGAUAUUUAAAUUGUUGUGAGACAGAGUCUGAAUGACUUCGAGAUCCCCUGUUCAGAUUUUAGAAAAUCAUUAUAAAUUUUACAAAAAUACUUAUGAGUUCUAAUUUAUAUGCUUAGAAUCCUUAAUGGGUUUAUUUUAAAAAAAAUAUAUACGAGAACAUUAUACGAGUCCUGUGCUAUGAGAUAAUUGAACUUAGUGUAGAAGGGUCAGAACUGUCAUACAGUGAAUCAGGGGUAACUUUGAGGAAUAAGCUAUACUAAUUGGCUAAGCCAAAAAUUCUAUAAAUUUUAUGGUAGAAAGGUAUAUGAGUCUACUUUCAGGGAAAAUUAACAAAAACUUAAUUUGAAGUUUCGUAGCUCCAAAUAUAAAUAUUUUAUUGACUAUUGUUCAAGAAGACAGCUUAUCUGAACUUGAGAAUAUGUUGGGAACAUUGAUAAAAUCUGUUAAUGAGUUGCUUAUUGUUUUCAUAUGAACUUACUAAGCGUAAAGCUUACCUCUCCUCUCCACUUCUUCAGUUUUGGCAGGUCGGCUCGAGGUUGGAGAUCAUCGGAGGCAGCAUCACACUAUCAAGCUAUUAUUUUUUUGGGGGAAUUGUUUCAAAUAUUAGAAACGUCAAGUGAGUGGCAUGUAUAGGAAGUUAGUUUUAUGACAUGUAUUAUUAUGGUUUGGUCAAACAUAUUGGACCUUAAUCACUGUGGUAGUAAGUUUAAUUAUUUAUGUCUUGUUGUAUGUCUAUGAAUAGGUGGGUACAUGUAAGGUGACAAAGGCUUGGUAAAUAGCCUAAUACUGCCCACACAGUCUGAGCGCACGGACGUGUGUCUCGGCCGUGUGUCAAUUAUAGAAUCGGUAGUGAGCUCCACGGGCACGGAACACAGGAGUGUCCAUAGCACACGGGCGUGUGUUCUACCUUCACACGGGCCUGUGGAGCCUUAAAGUAUGGAUUUUUUAAAACUUUUCGUAAGUUCUCGGUUUAGCCUCGAAAUUAUUCCAAAGAAUGUUUUGGGCUCCGUAGACUUAAAUAAGGGAUGUUAUGCAUGUCUUUGGAAAGUUUUAGAUUAAACGAAAUUGUAUGGCUCGGUUUUACUUGUAUGUGUAUGUUUAAGUCCGGUAGCACCUCGAACCCUAUCCCGACAUCGGAUGCGGGCGAAGGGUGUUACAAAGUAUGUAGAAACUGUCCCUUGACAAUUAGAGGUCAUUAUUUUCUGACUAACCUUAUGUUGUUGCUGUUUGAUGAAUUCGAUGUAAUCCUCGGUAUGGACUGGUUGACUUCUCAUAGGGUUAUAAUGGAUUGUGGACGAAAAAUCAUCAAGUUGAAAUGCAAAAAUGGGGAUGUCCUCCGGGUUGAACAGGGUGAAUAGGAUAACUCACCUGUAAUAGUAUCGUCUGUGACUGCGAAGAGAUAGUUGAGAAAAUGAUAUGAGUCUUACCUUGCAAUUGUGUUGAAUACUCAAGCGUCGAAAGUGAAAAUUGAGACAGUGCCUGUGGCAUGUGAGUACCUGGACGUGUUUUCGGAAUAGUUGCUGGAUUGCCUCCAACUAGGGAAGUUGAGUUUGGUAUCGAGUUGGUCCCUAGUAUGGCGCCUAUCUUGAUUGUUCCGUAUAGGAUAGCUCCUAUGGAGCUAAAGGAGUUAAAAGUUCAACUACAAGAGUUAACAGACAAGGGUUUUGCGAGACCGAGUUUUUCUCCGUGGGGUGCCCCAGUGCUAUUUGUGAAGAAAAAGGAUGGAUCGAUGAGAUUAUGUAUAGACUGCAGACAACUCAACAAGGUGACUGUGAAGAACAAGUAUCCUUUGCUAAGGAUCGAUAAUUUGUUCGAUCAGUUUAAGGGAGCUACCGUGUUUUCUAAAAUCGACUUAAGGUCUGGCUAUUACCAACUAAGGGUUAAAGAGCAAGAUGUACCGAAAACCGCAUUUAGGACGAGGUGUGGGCACUAUGAGUUUCUAGUUAUGCCCUUCGAUUUAAUGAAUGCCUCUGCGGUAUUCAUGGAUCUGAUAAACCUUAUUUUUUGGCCGUAUUUGGAUAAAUUCGUGGUGGUUUUUAUCGACAACAUACUAAUUUACUCACGUGAUGAGAGUGAACACGCAGAGAAUCUGAGAACGGUUUUACAAACCUUGAAAGAUAAGCAGUUAUAUGCCAAGUUUAGUAAGAGUGAAUUUUAGCUUAAAGUGGUCGGAUUCCAGGGACACGUCGUGUCGGGAAAUGGAAUCAGAGUUGACCCAAGAAAGAUCUCGGCUAUUGUUGAGUGGAAACGCCUAGGAUGUGUCAGAGAUUCGAAGCUUUUUGGGUUUAGCUGGGUACUAUAGAAGAUUUGUGAAUGGAUUCUCUAUGAUAGCUACUCCGAUGACAACGCUGUUACAAAAGGAUGAGAAGUUUGAAUGGACAAAGAAGUGCCAACAGAGUUUUGAGAAAUUAAAGACUUUGUUGACUGAGGCUCCAGUUCUGAUGCAACCAGAACCGGGGAAAGAAUUCGUGGUAUGCAGCGACACCUCCUUAAAUGGAUUGGGGUGCGUGCUCAUUCAAGAAGGCAAAGUUAUAGCAUAUGCCUCGAGAUAGCUAAAGUCACACGAGAAGAAUUACCUGACGCACGAUUUAGAGUUGUCUACCAUCGUGUUCGCGUUGAAAAUUUGGAGACACCAUUUGUAUGGCGAGAGAUGUCGAGUGUUCUGAUGACUUAAAAGGAUUUGAAUCUACGGCAACGAAGGUAGCUAGAGUUGAAAAAGGAUUACGAGUUGGUGAUUGACUACCACUCGGGGAAAGCGAAUGUAGUCACUCAUACAUUGAGUAGGAAAUCAUUGUUCGCCUUGAGGGCUAUGAAUACUCAAUUGACCAUGUCUGAUGAUGGUUUGAUUCUAGUCGAGAUAAGAGCUAGACCUACAUUCCUUCAAGAAAUCUGUGAAGCUCAGAAAUGUGACAAGGAUUUACACGCUAAGAUGGCUCAGUGUGAGUCGGGUGAUGAAUUAGAUUUUUGGAUUAAUACCGACAGCUGCUUGAUGUUCCAAGAUAGGGUUUGUGUACCCAAAGAUAAUGAGCUUAUUCAGAAGAUUUUACUAUAGGCACAUAGUGGUUGCUUGUCUAUCCGUCCGGGUAGUGUGAAAAUGUAUAACAACUUGAAGAAGUUGUAAUGAUGGUCGGGGAUGAAAAGAGACAUUUCUGAGUUUGCUUCUAAGUGUCUAGUUUGUCAACAAGUGAAGGCCGAACACCAAGUACCCUCGGGUCUACUUCAGCUUGUGAUGGUUCCCAAGUGGAAAUAAGACCGAGUAACCAUGGAUUUUGUGUCGGGGUUACCUUUGACACCAAGGAAAAAGGAUUCAAGAAUUAUACUUACCUAAUAUUUUCAAUACAAUACAAUAAACAUUCCUAUAUCCAUUCAAUGCAUUAUUACCCUAACAUGCACAAACUCAACAUUCAAGUUAGUACAAUAAUUUCCAUGUACCAAUAAUAUAUACCAUGAUUGAUGAGCUCAUCAAUACCAUGAUUUUCAUUUCCUUGUUAUUUUUUCAUAUUUAUCCCGUUGAAUUUAUUGGAAUUUCGAUGGAUUUUUCAGAGGUACACUUUUAGUGUACAAUUCCAGGUCCGUCAAAUCAUAUUCAUGUGCGCGCAUUUCCAUUUCAGAGAGCACACUCCCGUGAACCUCAACAUUGCAGCGGGAUUACCAGUCCAGGCUAAAUCCCCUGCAAUAUAAACUCAUAGAGUAUUGUCGGGAUUACCAGUCCAAGCUAAAUCCCCUGCAACGACAAUUACUCUAAUGAGCUUGAAUCUGAAUUACCAGUCCAAGCUAAAUUCAGACCCUAAUUCGGAUUACCCGUCUGGGCUAAAUCCAUUUUCCACAUAUUCUUCGGGAGGGCUAUAUCAGGAUAGGAUCACCCGUCCGGGCUAGAUCCUUUUUACCGUCAAUUCAUUUUCAAAGAUCCAUCGAAUUUUCCUUUCAUUCAACCGAGAUUUCUUCCCCUUUUUAUCAAAUAUAUCAAUGUUUCAUUAAUUUUCAUACAAUGAACAUUCAAAUCAUAUUCACAUCAAUAACAUACAUUUCAAGCAUUUAAUAAUAUAAUUCAAGUUACAGGAACUUACCUUGAUACUUGUUCCUGUACAAAAAUCUAUUAAUCCCAAACUUUUUCCUUUCCUCGAUCCAGCUUCGUAUUUGAAUCUUCUGGAUCUAGAUUUAAUUAUCAAUUUAAUACAUUUCAUGUUCAUAUGCAACAUUCUCUAUAAUUUCAUUAUUAUUUAUAGUUCAUUCAAAGCUGCCUACUUGAGUCAUAGUCACUAAAUUAUUUUUAUCUUGAGCUACAGAAUUCCAAAUUAGGAUACACUAAUUUUCCCUGAAACUAGACUCAAAUAUCUUCUUACCAUAAAAUUUUCAGGAUUUUUGGUUUAGCCAAUAAGUACAGUUUAUUCUUUAAAUUCACCCAUGUUCUGUUGUAUGACAGCUCUGACCCUUCUUCACUAAAAAUUAAUUAUCUCUUCAUACAUGAUUCAAAUGAUAUUAUUGUUUAUUUAUCUUGAAAUUAAACUCAUUUAAAAUUCUAAACAUAUAAAUUUAAGCCCCUAAUUAUUUUUCUUUAAUUUUUUAUGAUUUUUCAAAUUUAGAACAGGGGAACUCAAAUUCAUUCUGACCUUGUCUCACAAAAUUUAUUAUAUCUAAAAAUUUACAAAUCCAUUGCUUACACAGUUUAUUCUAUGAGAAACUAGACUCAAUAAGAUUUAAUUCAAUAUUUUUUUCAUCUUCUAAUUCGAUUUCUAAAAUUUAUGGUGAUUUUUCAAAGUUAGUCUACUGCUGCUGUCCAAUAUUGUUUUAGUGCAAGCUGUUUAUUACCAUUUUUCCCCUAAGCUUUUAAUAAAUGAUAAUUUCGUCCCUACUCAAUUAGCCUCUCAAUUGAGCUUAUUUUUAUCAAUUAAAACUUUAUUCUAUCACCUUAAACUAGUUUACAGCCUUUAGGAAUUAGAAUUUCAGCAAUAGACUUUAAUUCCAAAGAUUUUCACAAUUAGGUCCUAAAAAUCAAUUUCCAUUGAAAUUACCUAAUAAAAUCAUCUUAUAAACAAAUUAAAGCUUUAAUUUCAUUCUACUUCAUCAUAAACUUACAGCACUCAACCAUGGUGACUUUUAAUUUCAUCCAUGAAAUCAAAAACUAAUGAAUUUAAUAGUAGGAUCUAGUUGUAAAAGUUUUAGAAACACAAAAAUUACAAGAAAAAGGCAAGGAUUAACUCACUUGGUGCAAAAAUUAUGGAAUACCAUCUUAGAGAACCCUCCUAUGGCGUUUUUAGCUACUGGAAUUGAAGAGAAAUGAAGAGAAAUCUAGAUAUUUCCUAUUUAGUCCUAGCUUUAUUUAGUUAAUUUUGCAAUAUUCCAAUUUUGCCCUUAAUUUAUCAAUUUUCCUACUGAUUUCAUGCCCUUUCCGUCCAGCCCAAAUAAAUUUUGGGUCGAAUUGCCUUUUAAAUCCUCUCUCAUUAGACACUUAAGUUAUUUAAUCAUACCAUCCACUUUUACACCUUUUACAAUUUAGUCCUUUUCAUUUAAUUAACUACCCAAACAUUAAAAUUUCCUAACGAAAUUUUAAUACCACAUUACUAACAUUUCAUAAAUAUUUAUAAAAUUAUUUUCGAUUCAAUUUUAUGAGAUUGAGGUCUCGAUACUUUGUUUUUACCCAAUUUCUUCAAUAAUUUCUUUUUCUAACUAACUACUAAAUCGGUAAAAAAAUUUUAUCGAUAUUUUCAUACGAUUUUCCUAUUAUAUAAAUAUUCAUGCAAAAAUAUUAAAAUAAAUUUCUCUUUAAAUCAGAUUUGUGGUUACGAAAUCACUGUUCCGAUAACCUUGAAUUUAGGCCAUUAUAGUGAGGCUCAGCAAAUACGCUAGGGACUGCGUAUCUAUCGAAGCCAUCAUGUGCAAGAAAUUUGAGGAUAGAUUGAAUGAAGACAUCCGAUUAUUAGUUGGCAUCUUAGAAUUGAGAGAAUUCGUGGUGCUCGUGGAGAGAGCAUGUAAGGCCGAGGAAUUGGCCAAAGAGAAGAGAAAAGCUGAUAUCAAGUCCCGAGACUCAAAGAAAAGACAGAUGGGGAAAUCACAUCAAACCUCAUCCAAGAGAUCGAGAGAGUUCACUACUCGAUCAAAUGCUUCAGUUGGAUUUUCGAGUAAAAACAAGAACAAGCAGUACACGGCGUCCAAAGCCCAAACCACUUCUAUCACAAGUGUUGGUAGUGCUCGGCCAAAUAGGCCAAAGUGUUCGCAAUGUGGUAGGCAUCAUUUUGGUGAGUGCCGAGGGAAUGAGAGGGAUUGCUUCAAAUGCGAAUCACUAGACCAUUUCAUCUGAAACUGUCCCAAAUUCGAGACAACCACAGGAGGUAGAGGGUUAUUCUAAUUUUCAGCUAUCUCCUCGGUAAUAUUGGUAUCAUCCUAUUACUCUUCCUCUAUAUACUGUAGACUCCGCCUUAUUUCUCUACGAUUUCUGCAAGCUGUGCUUUCAAUUUCACUAUCAAAUAAUAGAGGUCCUGACAGGUUUCUUCUAGCCAUAAACUAAUAGAACCUGCCAGAAGCAAAUAAGAGAAAAAGUUAGUAAAUUAAAGUAAAAACAAAAACAAAAAUAAAAAAUGGCUAAAGUAAUAAAAAUUUAGUGUUCCUAAUAUUUUAGUCCCCGACAAUGGCUCCAAAAACUUGAUGGAUCACGAAACUAACUAAUAUUUCGACAAAGACAAGCGCACCUAUCGAAUAGUAGUAUAGUUAUGGUGAGUCCAGAAUAUCGUAUCUACAAGGACUAAAAGUACUAGUAAUAACUAUCUUUCUAUUAUUUAGCCUAAUAAUUAAAUGAGGUGUUUUAAUCUAAAAUUAAACUAAUUAACUAUGAACGCGACAGAGAUCGAAUUGGGAAAAUACUUAAUAAAACCAAUGAGAGAGACAAUACCCAGGAAAGAAUCCACCUAGACUUCACUUGUUAUUCUGACUCUGAAUCAAACGAUUUAUUCACUUGUCUUGAUCAGUAGAAAUCCCUAACAACUGACUCUAGGUUGAUUAAUUGAAAUCUCUUUCUAAUUAAAACCCUUAUUGUCGCAUUAACUCGAUCUAUGGAUUUUCCUAUUAGAUUUGAAUCUAAUCCGGCAGAUUUAUGUCGUCCUAUUUCUAGGAUUGCAAUCAACUCCGCUUAAUUAUGCUAGAUCUACUCUUAAAUAGGGACUUUUGCUCUACUGAAUAAGCACAUCGAACGUGGAUUAAUAUCCUGAAAAUAUUAAAGUAAGGAUUAAGAACACAUAAUUAAGAACAAGAACAAGUAUUUAUCAUGUAAUUCAGAUAAUUAAAUAAAAAGAUAUGUCGUAGGUUUCAUCCUCCCUAGGUAUUUAGGGAGUUUAGUUCAUCAUGUAAAAGGAAAACAUCUGAAAUUUAGAAAAACAACAAGACAUAAAAAAACCCAAAUAAACUUCGAGAGAAAUUUGAAUGGAGAUAUUCAAUUUUGAAGUGGAUCUGCUUCCGGGAUUAUUCCAACGGUUUUCUUCGAGUAAUUUCUGCUUUCUACUUCGUGUGUCUUUAGGUCUUCUUCUAGUGUGUUUAUAUAGACUUUAGAAUGCUCAGAAACCCUAAAAAUUGGCUUUUUUCUCGUGUUUGAGAAACAGGGAGCGAUAUCGACACAAGCAGGACACAUGGGCGUGUGACCAGCCAGUGUGGCACACACGGGCGUGUGACCAGCCAGUGUGGCUCACACGGGCGUGUGCUUAGCCCGUGUGGAAGAUGGUCAGGCUGUAUGGUUCCUUAAAAUAGCCUGUUUUGUCUAUUUUUUACCCGUUUUCUGCUCUUUUUGCUUCCCUAUGCUCACCUAACUAUAGAAACAUGAAAUUAAAGGAUUAGGAGCAUCAAAUUCACUAAUUUAUAUAAGAAUUCAUCCAAAAACGCACUAAGAAUGGGAUUAAAAUAUGUUACUUUUAUGGCUAAUUAAAAAUUUUCUUUAAAAUAAAGUAUUGUGAUAUUUAUAGAAUUAAACUUUAACUAAAAUUAUAUAUGAGCUUUAUACGAGGUGGUUAAGUGUAACACCCUCACUCGUAUUCAUUGCCAGAAUAGGAUUACGAAGCAUUACCGGAUCAAUUACACAAUUAUACAUACAAUUCUCAUACAUUUAUCAUCAUCAAGUAAACAUCAUUCAUAAUCAUACAUAUCGCCCCUAUUAUGAGCCUACGAGGCCCAAAACAUGCUUUAGAAGUGGUUCGGGACUAAACUGGUAACUCGGGAAAUUUUUCAAAAACUUAGAAAAUUUCUCAAGGUACAAGGGCUACACGUCGUGUGCCCCAGCUGUGUCUCUUACACGGCCAAGAGACAUGCCUGUGUCUCAGGGCGUAUAGGCAUUCAAAAUGAGAUCACAUGGCCGUGUCCCAUCCCAUGUUCAACCCCGUGUAACUCUCUGACUUGGCUACACGUCCAGACCACACGCCUAUGUGUCAGGCCGUGUGCCUCUCAAAAUGGCCUCACACGCCCAUGUGCCAGGCCAUGUGAAAACUGAAGGGUAUUGUAACGCCCCCACGCCCGAGACCAUCGCCGGAGUCGAGUAUGAGGUGUUACUAAGCUUAAUUUAACAUAUUUAGAACUUUGGAUUAUUUAUUUCUACAUUCGCAGCUUUUAAGCUACUUGCAUCAUAGUCACAAGAAAAAUCAUAUCUCGAGUUACGAAACUAAAAAUCAAGAUCUGUAAAUUUUCCCUGAAUCUAGACUCAUAUACCUAUCUACUAAUUUUUUUCUAGAAUUUUUGGUUAGGCCAUUUAGUACAGUUUAUUAGUUAAAGUUACCCCUGUUUUAGGACUUGACUGGUCUGACCUCUGUUUACUACUAACCACAUUUAUCUCUGUACAAAAUUCAUAUGAAUAUGAGGUUUAUUUCUCCUGAAACUAGACUCAAUAUGGAUUCUGAAAGUAUAAAAUACACUACCUAAUUAUAUCUUUAAAAUUUAUGGUGAAUUUCUAAAGUUGGAACAGGGGAUUCAGAAACUUCUAUGACCCUGUUUCACAAAAAUUCUAAUAUCUUCUAACAUAUAAUUCCUUUUCUUGUUUUAUUUGUUUCAUGUGAAACUAGACAUAAUAAGAUUCAAUUUUAUAUGUAGUCCAUCACCAAAUUAAAUUUCUAUGAUUUUUAGUAAAUUUUCAAACUCGCGUCAGUGUUGCUGCAGUAUCCUGUUUAUGGCAAAUUUCAUCCCUUUUGAUGAGUUUUUAUACACUAAGUAUCUUAUUAAUUUUCCUUAUCAUCAAACAUAAUCUAAACUAACCAUUUUCAUAAUUUAUCAUUAUCAAACAUUUCCUCAACCAUUCCAUUACCAUACCAUAAGAUCAUUUACACAAAAUAGAUAUAUGCCAUACUUAAAUUUACAAGCCUUUACCAAAAGUCUUUCGGAUAGUGUGACUGAGCCUUCGACCUAUCCCGACUCCUGAGCUGGCUUGGCCAAAACUACAAUGAGUAAGAAGGAGGGAGUAAGCAUAAAUGCUUAGUAAGUUCAUAUGCAAAUAAUAAGUAACAUAACAAACAGUUAUACCAAUCAACAUUAGCAUACAUCACUAAAACACAUGUCACAUUUCUAAUCAUUUUUCAUCAUCUUAUUACCUUAUCGUGGUUGUAUCAAUACUCAACCCGAGGGUUAAAUACAUACCUCUUCAAAAUAUCCAUUUCACAUCACUUACCAAUACGUCUCUUUACAUCUCAAAUAUUCCUCCAUUUGAGUAGAGCUUUACCCGUUGAACACAUCGGAAUAUAAUUCGGAUACAUGGAUAACUUGCACAUAAGUGCCAUAUAUGAAAUCAACCAAUCAUGUAACCCGCCCAUAAGUGAACUCGGACUCAACUCAACGAGCUCGGGCGUUCGCAUCCAUAAGUGAACUCGGACUCAACUCAAUGAGUUCGGAUGCCUAGUUACAUCUCUCGAACUCGGACUCAACUCAACGAGUUCGGACAUUCGCAUCCAUAAGUGAACUCGGACUCAACUCAACGAGUUCGGAUGCUCAACCAUCCUAGUGACAUGUCACUUGUAUCCUAAUCUAUUCCUAAGGUUCAAACGGGCUUUUUCCUCGAACACUUAUCCUUGCCGUCUUCCGUAGAAUGCUAAAAUCAAUACUCGGUAACAAUUAUAUUUAACAAGUAGCUCGCAUAAUUUACAUAUUAUUUGAAAUUAACCACAAAGCAUACAUUUCAUAAUUAAAUUCAGCAUAGCAUAUAAUUAACAUCAAUAACUUAAAAAUAAAAAUUAUGCUACUUUAUUUACACAUGAACUUACCUUGGUACCAAAAUACAAGGAUUUUGCAAUCUAGUCCACAAUAUUUUCUUUUCCUCGAUUGAGGUUGAUUCCACGUCUUUCUUGAUUAUGGAGCUUGGAAGCUUGAAACAAAUCCUAGCUAUGGAGAACCCUUGAAAUUUCGGCCUAAUGAAGAAGAUGGACAAAAAUUGGCUUUUAAUUUUGUUUUUAAUUCAUUUUAAUAACUAAAUGACCAAAAUACCCUUACUACUAAACUUUCCAAAAAUUCCUUCCAUGUCCUAAUUUUGUCCAUGAACUUAAAAUUGGUAAAAUUGUUAUUUAAGACCUCCUAAUUAAUAUUUCAAAGUAAUUUCAUAAUAAAAACUUCUAGAAUGCAAAUUUUGCAACUUAUUCAAUUUAGUCCCUAACUUUAAAUUAAACUCGUUAUGCCCAAAAUUUCUUCACGAAAUCUUCACACAAUUAUGCAUUCAUAUCAUAAACCUCAAAAUAAUUAUAAAAUAAUUAUUUCUAUCUCGGAUUUGUGGUCACGAAACCACUAUUCCGAUUAGGCCCUAAUUCGGGAUAUUACAACUCUCUUCCCCCCCCCUUUUAAGGAUUUUCGUCCUCGAAAAUCUUACCGGUAAACAGGUGUGGAUAUUGGUUUCUCAUAGUUUCUUCAGGUUCCCAUGUAGUCUCUUCUACCCCAUGCUUUUGCCACAACACUUUCACAAGUGCAACACUUUUAUUUCUUAGUUGUUUGACUUCUCGAGCUAAAAUCUUAAUCGGUUCUUCUUCAUAAGUCAUAUCCGGUCGUAGUUUAACUUCUGUCGGUGAAAUUAUAUGUGAAGGAUCCGAACGAUACCGACGUAACAUAGAUACAUGAAACACAUCAUGAAUCUUCUCUAAUUCAGGUGGUAACGCUAGCCGAUAUGCUACCGGUCCAACUUUUUCAAUUAUUUCAUACGGUCCAAUAAAACGCGGACUUAACUUGCCCUUUCGUCCAAAUCUAAGGACUUUCUUCCAUGGAGACACUUUCAAAAAUACCUUAUCACCAACUUGAAACUCCAUUUCUUUUCGUUUCAAAUCCGCAUAAGAUUUCUGUCUAUCUGAAGCAGCUUUCAAACAAUCUCGAAUCACUUUCACCUUUUCUUCGGUUUCUUUUAUUAAAUCAACUCCAUAGAUUUGACUUUUCUUGAGUUCAGUCCAAUACAAUGGCGUCCGACAUUUACGACCAUAUAAUGCUUCAUAAGGUGCCAUCUUCAAACUUGUCUGAUAACUAUUAUUAUAAGCAAAUUCUACCAAUGGUAAGUACCUUUCCCAACUAUCUUGAAAUUCCAAUACGCAACAUCUGAGCAUGUUUUCAAGAAUCUGAAUUACUCUCUCUGAUUGUCCAUCAGUUUGUGGAUGAAAGGCAGUGCUGAAAUUUAACUUUGUACCUAAUGCUUCUUGCAACUUUUUCCAAAACCGUGAGGUAAACCUCGGAUCUCUAUCCGAAAUGAUUGACAAAGGUAUCCCAUGAAGUCUAACAAUCUAUCGGAUAUACAAUUCAGCUAACUUAUUAAGAGAAUAAUCUGUACGUACCGGAAUAAAUGAGCCGAUUUAGUCAGUCUGUGAACUAUUGCCCAGAUGGCAUUUUUCUUCCCUGGAGUUAACGGCAACCCUGAUAUAAAAUCCAUAGUAAUCCUAUCCCAUUUCCAUUCAGGAACCAUAAUAGGCUGAAGUAAUCCCGAAGGUACCUGGUGUUCAGCUUUCACUUGUUGACAAACUAAGCACUUUGAUACAAACUCGGAAAUAUCUCUUUUCAUUCCACUCCACCAGUACAUUUUCUUCAAGUCAUUAUACAUCUUCGUACUGCCCGGAUGAACCGCCAAACAACUAUUAUGUGCUUCAUGCAAAAUCUUUUGAAUCAACUCAUCAUUUUUUGGUAUACAAAUCCGAUUUUUAAACAUCAAACAACCAUCAGAACCGAUUCUGAAAUUUGAUCCCGUAUCAGCUUCACACUGUUUUCUCUUGGCUUGCAAAUCUUGAUCAUCUUUUUGAGCUUCAGAAAUAUUUUGCAAAAACAUUGGUUUUGCUCUUAACUCUGCUAGAAUCGAACCAUCAUCUGACACUUUCAACUGAGUGUUCAUAACUCUCAAAGCAAACAACAACUUUCUGCUCAAAGCAUCAGCAACCACAUUUGCUUUUCCCGGAUGAUAAUCAAUAACAAGCUCGUAAUCUUUCAACAACUCCAACCAUCUUCGUUGUCUCAAAUUCAAGUCUUUUUGUGACAUCAAGUACUUAAGACUUUUGUGGUCGGUAUAUACCCGACAUUUUUCACCAUACAAAUAAUGUCGCCAAAUUUUCAAAGCAAACACCACCGCAGCCAAUUCCAAAUCGUGAGUAGGAUAAUUCCUCUCAUGAGGUUUUAACUGCCUCGAAGCAUAUGCCACCACUUUUCCUUCUUGCAUGAGCACACACCCCAAACCAUUUAGAGAAGCAUCACUAUACACCACAAAUUUUUUACCUGAUUCGGGCUGUACUAACACUGGUGCCUCUGUUAAUAACUUUUUCAAUUCUUCGAAACUCUGUUGACAUUCUUCCGUCCAUUCAAAUUUAACAUCCUUUCGGAGUAGUCUAGUCAUAGGAGCCGCAAUUAUAGAAAAUCCAUUUACAAACCGCCGAUAAUACCCAGCUAGCCCCAAGAAACUUCUAACUUCAGUUACAUUUUUUGGUGGUUUCCAAUCAACAAUGGCUGAAAUUUUACUAGGAUCAACCCGUAGACCAUCACCUGAAACAAUAUGACCCAAAAAUCCAACUUCCCGUAGCCAAAAUUCACUUUUACUAAACUUAGCAUACAGCUGUUUAUCUCUCAAAGUUUGCAAAACUAUCCUCAAAUGCUCAGCAUGCUCUGUAUCAUCUUUUGAAUAAAUUAAAAUAUCAUCUAUAAACACCACAACAAAUUUGUCCAAAUAUGGCCGAAAUAUGCGAUUCAUUAAAUCCAUAAACACAGCAGGAGCAUUUGUCAACCCGAAUGGCAUAACUAAAAAUUCAUAAUGACCAUACCUUGUUCUAAAAGUAGUUUUAGGUACAUCCGACUCCUUUACCCGUAGUUGGUAAUACCCAGAUCUCAAGUCAAUCUUUGAAAACCAUGUCGCUCCUUUUAGCUGAUCAAACAAAUCAUCAACUCUUGGCAACGGAUACUUGUUUUUGAUUGUCACCUUGUUUAACUGGUGAUAAUCAACACACAACCUCAUAGAACCAUCCUUCUUUUUCACAAAUAACACGGGAGCACCCCAAGGUGAAAAACUCGGUCUCACAAAACCUUUAUCAGUCAACUCUUGCAACUGCGACUUUAAUUCCUUCAACUCUGCUGGUGCCAUUCUAUACAGAGCAAUCGAAAUCGGAGCUGUUCCCGGUAUCAAAUCAAUACCAAAUUCUACUUCCCUGACUGGAGGCAAACCCGGCAAUUCUUCUGGAAAUACGUCCGCAAAUUCACACACAACCGGCACUGAUUCAACUUUUUUUUCAACUUCUUUUGUAUUAAUUACAUACGCCAAAUAAGCUUCAUAACCCUUUCUCAGAUAUCUUUGAGCCGACAUUGAAGAAAUCACACUAGGCAAUGCCUCUGAUUUAUCUGAUUCAACCCGCAGAGUUUCACCAUUUUCACACUUUAAUUCUAUAACCUUUUCUUUGCAAUUUAUUUUAGCAUCAUGCAAUGUCAACCAAUCCAUACCCAAAAUAACAUCAAACUCAUCAAAUGGCAACAACAUCAAGUCGGCCGGAAAGUAAUGAUCCCGAAUCAUUAAAGGACAUUUCUUACAUACUUUAUCAACAGUCACACAUUUGCCUAACGGAUUCGACACUCUAAUCAUAAAUUUUGUGUUCUCAACAGGUAUAUUCAUACUAGACACCAAUUUCAUGCACACAUAUGAAUGAGUAGAACCGGGAUCAAUCAAAGCAAUAACAUUAACAUUAUAGAGAGAAAAUGUACCGGUAAUCACAUCAGGUGAGGAAGCAUCUUCACGCGCUUUAAUAGCAUAAGUUCUAGCCGGAGCCCUUCCUUCAGGUCUAACCGGUGCAUCCCUGGCUACAUUCUUACUGCUUGUUUCACUUCCAGCUUUUCUCGGAUACCUUCCCCUCGAGUCUGCACCACUAGCUUUUACAUUCUGAAAUUUUUCUUUUUCAGCUCUCUCUGGGCAGCCUCUAAUAAAAUGAUCCGGAGAACCAUAUCGAAAACAUUCAUUUGCUCUACACGGACCAAAAUGAUUUCUACCACACCGCUGGCACUCAGGUUUAACAAAUCUCGAGUUCCCUACACUGGCUGCCGAAGUAGUCUGGGAUUUAGGACCCACAUUUUGCUUCUUAUAAUUCCCAUAUGAUUGCCCAGCUGAAGCUUGGGAACGAGGAUUCAUAUUCCUUGACUUUCCAGGUUGCUGUGAAAAUGAACUACUCAUCGGUCUUUUCUUCCAAUUUCUAGUUUCAGCCAAUUCUUCGGCCUUACAAGCUCGAUCAACCAAUACUACCAUUUCUUUUAAUUCAAGAAUUCCAACAAAUACCUUGAUGUCUUCGUUGAGCCCGUCUUCAAAUCAUCGGCACAUCUUGGCCUCUGUAGGAACAUACUCUCUGGCAUACUUACUUAAUCGAACAAACUCUCUUUCAUACUCUGUAACCGUCAUAUUACCUUGCUUCAGCUCAAGAAAUUCUUUACGCUUCUGAUCAAUAAAUCUUUCACUAAUAUAUUUCUUCCGAAACUCUUCUUGAAAAAAUUCCCAAGUUAUUUUCUCUUUCGGUACCACCGAAAUCAAAGUCUUCCACCAAUUAUAAGCUGAAUCCCUCAACAAAGAUAUAGCUCAUUUUAAACAUUCUUCAGGUGUACAAGAUAAUUCAUCAAAUACCCGGAUAGAAUUCUCAAGCCAGAACUCUGCUUUCUCGGCAUCAUCAUCAAUAUUUGCUUUAAAUUCUUCGGCCCCUUGCUUGCGAAUUCUAUCAACUGGAGUUCUGUGAAAUUUCAUCAGAUCCAUACCUUGAGGCAUCGGGGGUACAGGUUGAGGAAUUGGGGGAGGUGGGGGAGGUCGUACAUUUGGGUUCGUACGAACGAACUCAGUGUACCAUGCACUCAUCAUUUGGAGAAAGGCUUCUCGAUCCCUUUCUCCUCCUCCCUGACCAACAAUAGGAGGUGGAUUUUCAGUCGGCGCUGCUCCUUCAGCUGGAGCUGGCGCAUUACUCUCUACUUCAUCUGCCACAGCUGGAUCGGGAUCCAUUUACUAUAUAAAAAAAAUUCAUUUAAAAAGGUCAGAAGUCGUCACACUAUCACAAUUCAUACAUAUGGCAUGUAUAGCAAAAUCUGUACGAACAACACGUAGUCCGAGAACCGACUAAACCUGCUCUGAUACCACUAAAUGUAAUUCCCCGACGCCCGAGACCAUCACCGGAGUCGAGUAUGAGGUGUUACUAAGCUUAAUUUAACAUAUUUAGCACUUUGGAUUAUUUAUUUCUACAUUCGCAGCUUUUAAGCUACUUGCAUCAUAGUCACAAGAAAAAUCAUAUCUCGAGUUACGAAACUCAAAAUCAAGAUCCGUAAAUUUUCCCUGAAUCUAGACUCAUAUACCUAUCUAAUAAUUGUUUUAUAGAAUUUUUGGUUGGGCCAUUUAGUACAGUUUAUUAGUUAAAGUUACCCCUGUUUCAGGACUUGACUGGUCUGACCUCUGUUUACUACUAACCAUAUUUCUCUCUGUAAAAAAUUCAUAUGAAUAUGAGGUUUAUUUCUCCUGAAACUAGACUCAAUAUGGAUUCUGAGAGUAUAAAAUACACUACCUAAUUAUAUCUUUACAAUUUAUGGUGAAUUUCUAAAGUUGGACCAGGGGAUUCAAAAACUGCUAUGACCCUGUUUCACUAAAAUUCAAAUACCUUCUAACAUAUGAUUCCUUUUCUUGUUUCAUUUGUUUCAUGUGAAACUAGACAUAAUAAGAUUCAAUUUUAUAUGUAGUCCAUCACCAAAUUCAAUUUCUAUGAUUUUUAGUAAAUUUUCAAACUCGCGUCAGUGUUGCUGCAGUAUCCUGUUUAUGGUAAAUUUCAUCCCUUUUGAUGAGUUUUUAUACACUAAGUAUCUUAUUAAUUUUCCUUAUCAUCAAACAUAAUCUAAACUAACCAUUUUCAUAAUUUAUCAUUAUCAAACAUUUCCUCAACCAUUCCAUUACCAUACCGUAAGAUCAUUUACACAAAAUAGAUAUAUGCCAUACUUAAAUUUACAAGCCUUUACCAAAAGUCUUCCGGAUAGUGUGACUGAGCCUUCGACCUAUCCCGACUCCUGAGCUGGCUUGGCCAAAACUACAAUGAGUAAGAAGGAGGGAGUAAGCAUAAAUGCUUAGUAAGUUCAUAUGCAAAUAAUAAGUAACAUAACAAACAGUUAUACCAAUCAACAUUAGCAUACAUCACUAAAACACAUGUCACAUUUCUAAUCAUUUUUCAUCAUCUUAUUACCUUAUCGUGGUUGUAUCAAUACUCAACCCGAGGGUUAAAUACAUACCUGUUCAAAAUAUCCAUUUCACAUCACUUACCAAUACGUCUCUUUACAUCUCAAAUAUUCCUCCAUUUGAGUAGAGCUUUAUCCGUUGAACACAUCGGAAUAUAAUUCGGAUACAUGGAUAACUUGCACAUAAGUGCCAUAUAUGAAAUCAAGCAAUCAUGUAACCCGCCCAUAAGUGAACUCGGACUCAACUCAACGAGUUCGGAUGCCUAGUUACAUCUCUCGAACUCGGACUCAACUCAACGAGUUCGGACAUUCGCAUCCAUAAGUGAACUCGGACUCAACUCAACGAGUUCGGAUGCUCAACCAUCCUAGUGACAUGUCACUUGUAUCCUAAUCUAUUCCUAAGGUUCAAACGGGAUUUUUCCUCGAACACUUAUCCUUGCCGUCUUCAAUAGAAUGCCGAAAUCAAUACUCGGUAACAAUUAUAUUUAACAAGUAGCUCGCAUAAUUUACAUAUAUUUGAAAUUAACCACAAAGCAUACAUUUCAUAAUUAAAUUCAGUAUAGCAUAUAAUUAACAUCAAUAACUUAAAAAUAACAAUUAUGCUACUUUAUUUACACAUGAACUUACCUUGGUACCAAAAUACAAGGAUUUUGCAAUCUAGUCCGCAAUCUUUUCUUUUCCUCGAUUGAGGUCGAUUCCACGUCUUUCUUGAUUAUGGAGCUUGGAAGCUUGAAACAAACCCUAGCUAUGGAGAACCCUUGAAAUUUCGGCCUAAUGAAGAAGAUGGACAAAAAUUGGCUUUUAAUUUUGUUUUUAAUUCAUUUUAAUAACUAAAUGACCAAAAUACCCUUACUACUAAACUUUCCAAAAAUUCCUUCCAUGUCCUAAUUUUGUCCAUGAACUUAAAAUUGGUAAAAUUGUUAUUUAAGACCUCCUAAUUAAUAUUUCAAAGUAAUUUCAUACUAAAAACUUCUAGAAUGCAAAUUUUGCAACUUAUUCAAUUUAGUCCCUAACUUUAAAUUAAACUCGUUAUGCCCAAAAUUUCUUCACGAAAUCUUCACACAAUUAUGCAUUCAUAUCAUAAACCUCAAAAUAAUUAUAAAAUAAUUAUUUCUAUCUCGGAUUUGUGGUCACGAAACCACUAUUCCGAUUAGGCCCUAAUUCGGGAUAUUACAGGUAUACUGACUAUGCCACACGGCCAAGCCACACACCCGUAUGCUAGGCCGUGUGAAGCUACUGACUUGGUUUUUAGUUCAACACCAGAGGACACAUGGCCGUGUAACUUGGCCGUGUGUCACACACGGCUAAGACACACGCCCGUGUCUCUGCCCAUGUGGACAAAAAUAGGCUAUUUACCAAGCCAUUUUACCACCCACACUUGUGCAGACCUACACCAUACCAAAAGGUACCAAAACAUAGCAUAAAAAGGGAAUUCCAACCAUUCUCAAUCAGGCCCAUAUCUUGCAUAAAACCAUACUAGUAUUCACUAGAUACCAAGUAUCCUAAUAGGCUAUUUCAAAACAUGCCAAAUUCACAUUCACAAAGUAUCUAUGCAUAAUUUCAACUAAGCAAAACUUUGCCUAAAAUCAUAAGCAUACCAAUACUAAAUUCCAAGCAAAGGCUACCUAACUACUCAUCCUCAACUAACAAUUUACCAAGCAAUUAUAUGCCACAUCAAAGGGAUAUUAACACUUAUGUACAUAUAUAUACAUCAUCAACUAAACCAAAUAAGCCAACUUACAUGGCUAUAUACAUAGUAACCAUUCAUCAUUCACAAGCCAACUCAAAUGGCUACAUCCAUUACCAAAAUACAUAGCAAAAUGACCAUAACACCUAUACAUGCCGUACGACCAAAAAUUAGUUUCAAAAGUACCACAAUGAUAGAUGGAUAGUGUGAAGCGAUCUCCGACAAUCCCCAAAUCUGAACUAGCUUGAUAACACUAUAAAACAUGGAAAAUUUAAACGAUGUAAGCUAUAAAGCUUAGUAAGCUCGUAUGAUAAUAAUAAUAAUAAGCAAAUCUUACCAUCCAUUUACCAAUCAAAUAAUAGAAAGCAUUAUACAACAAUUCUAUUAAAUCUCAAAGCUACCAAGUGAUCAUUCACAUAACUUACUAAGGAACUCAUCAGUUCCAUAGUUUCAAUGCUCAAUAAACUUCCGUACAUACCUGUACCGAUACUAGAACAUCUCUCACCAUCUUAUAUCCUCAAUAUACCCGUUGAACCAUUUAGAAUAAAAGUCGGAUACCCAGGAGUCUCGCACCCUAAGUGCCAAUAUCAUGGCUUUAACUCACUCUGGCAGUACUGAUAUCAUGGCCUAAAGCCAAAUCAGUGUAACUCACACAAAGUGCUAAUAUCAUGGCCCAAAGCCAACUCAGUGUAACUCGCACCCCAAGUGCUAAUAUCAUGGCCCGAAGCCAACUCAAUGUAUCCCCUAAUGACAUGACACUCGUAUCAUAUUCUAUUCCUAAGGUUCAAUCGGGAUUUUCAAUGUCGAGUCUUCGCCGAAUGUGUCCGCAACAUUGUAAUUCACAAUUUAGGCAACAUCAAAGCGAUUAAUACACAUUUAUAAUAAUGCUUAUUGCAUACAAACUUACCUCAGUCAGAAAAACAGCGAACUAAGUCAAUUAGUUCGAAAGCUUUUUUUUCCCCGAUCUAAGUCCAAAUUUCCCUUUUCUUGAUCUAUAGGUAAUCAAAAUUAUCUUAUUUAAUCACCUCUCAAUUCAAUUUAAUCCAAAACACAUUAUGAAAAAAUUACACUUUUGCCCCUAAUAUUUCAAUAUUUUUACAAUUUAGUCCAUAUCUCAUAAAAAUGCAAAUUCAUCAAUUAAGCCCUUACCCAUGCCAACCGAAUUUCAUAGGGACCCCUAGCAGCCCAUAUUUUUCAUUUAUUUCACAUUUCAACCACAAAAUUUACACAUUUCACAAUUUAAUUUAAAUUUGGACAUUUUACUAAAAAUCACUUCACAAAUGUUGUUUAUCUAACAACAACCAUGCAUUUUCUACCAUUAAACAUCAAAAUACACCAACAUUCAUCAAUGGAAAAACCCUAUACUUUUAACAAUUUCUCAAAUUAGUCCUUGGGCUAGCUAGAUGAAGUUACAACGAUGCCGAAAACAUAGAAAUCAUUAUAAACGGAACAAAAUUCACUCACAUGCAUGGAGUUCUUGGCCGAACCUAGCUUCAAGCAAAAAUGGCUUCUUUCUUUUGUAGAAUCGGUUGGAAGAAGAUGACAAUGAGUGGGAAUUUUGUUCUAUUUUAUUUUAUUAACCUUUAAUUAUCAAAUACAAAAAUUAACCUUAAAUUAAAACAUUAAAAAUCACCUAAUCCAUGUCCAAGAAUGUCCACUAACAUUAGCAAUUGUAUAAUUACCACAUAAGGACUUCCGCUAAUUAAUUUUAUAGCCAUUUAAUAAUUUUGGAUAUUAGCACAACACUUUUAUACUUUUUGCGAUUUAAUCAUUUUUAUCAAAUUAAGCACUCAAACGAUAAAGUCUCUUAACGAAAUUUUCACACAAUCAUACUAUCAUGCUGUAGACAUUAAAAUAAUAAUAAAAUAAUUAUUUUGACCCCAAAUUUGUGGUCUCGAAACCACUAUUUUGAUUUGACUAAAAACGAGCUAUUACAUUAAGUCGAUCUCAGGUUUCUAUUGAACGACCUUCUCCACUAUUCAUAAACAGAUUUAGGAUUUAUUUUACUUGGAUUCUGUCCAAUAUACUAUCAGCCAAGUCAGUCACAUUUAUGUCUCUAUCUUCUAAGAGUCAUCUGCUUCAAUACCAAGACAAGGUAUCUCUCCAAUUGGAUUUGAUAGACGACAUAUUAGUUUUUCAAUCGAUUUGUUCAAUUUUGAUUAGACUAAUAACAUGUUUGGAUUAUCUACUAAUAUAAGUUGUCUUUCCUUAUUACGAUCCGACCACAUAAUGCCGUUUAAUAUUAGUUAAACUUUAGAUAAUUAGUAAACUAAUAUUUGUUUUCAUUUUUCUUUACAUGCAAAAACUAUUGAAGACAAUAUAUGAAUAUAUUAAUGAUACUGAUGAAUAUUUUAUUAAACUAAUUUUUUUUGAAAAAUUACAAGUACAUAUAAACAAAAUCACUAGAUCCUAACGGGUUUAAAUCCUACAACUCACUAUAUACCAAACUUACACUUAUACAAAAAAUCUAGAUCACUUUCCACUAAAUUUUCUCUCGAAAAACCGCGGCUAUAUAAUCAAAUUGGUUUUUAAUAGAAUAAUAUAAAGCGCUGACUUUCUUACAAACUAAGUCAAGCUUCACAUAUAUAGUUACUUUAGCCACGGUGAAAUCAAGGGCGUAGCUAGGGGGCUAGCAAGGGCCUUAAUUUCUCCCUAAAAUGAAAAAUUUUUCAUUUAAGUGCUUUAAAUUUUUUAAAAUUUUAAAUUAGUAAAAAUAAAAAUACACUUUGGCCUCCUUAAAAAUGAUAAAAAAUUAAUUUAAUAUUUUAAAAAUUAUAAAUAUAUAGACUAUUAAAAUGGUGAAAUUAUAUUUUUACUAUCAUAAAAAUUACAAUUUAAUUUCGGUCCCCUAAAAAAAAUUUGAUUUCGCCUCUGGAUGAAAUACAAAUAUAUUACAAUAACAAUACCCACCAAAGUAUCUUACAAAAUAUCCUAACAAAGUUUAGGAUAAAUAAUGAAAAUUUCAAGAUAUUCUUUAACUCAGUCGAUCCAAUUUCCAUUAAAUAGGGAAUUCGAUUUGCAUGACGAAUUGACAUUCGAUCAUUUAUGAUUUGUUCCUUCGUUAGAUUAAUCUUCUAAGACGUGCCAUGAAAGCUUGCAACAGAUUAUGAGUUCAACAUUCAAAUAGAUUUAGCUAAAAUGAUUAUCAGUUCUAAACAUGAUAAAUUAUUGUUUCAGCCUAGCUACAACAUAAGUUGAAACUGCUCUUGUAGCUGAAACCAUAAUUUCUCCAACAAAGGUUUCAUCUGCACCACAUUUAUAGAGCAAAAUUUAUGACUAAACAACGAUAUUUUCCAAAUAAUUUAAAUUUUUUUCAAAUCUAUCCGUAAAAGAGCUAAAGGGUAUAGGCAGCGACUAAAAUCAUGUCAAGCAUUUACAUUGGUAUGUAUACUGGCACCAUUGAAGGAACGUUUGAUUCCUUUGAACAAUUUGUCUAGCAAGCAUCAGAACCUCCUUUCCAAAACUUUCAAAGCAUAAUUAUUGUUUUCUCUGUAUUAAAUUUGAUUCUCGAUUUUUUGUCGCUUCUUCUAAUCACAUCCACUAUAAAUUUGCCUUAGUUUAUUACUAAAAGCACAACUUAAAACAAAAGAUUUUAACUAGAAAUCAAAAAUGGGACAGCCACAAAGCAAACCAAGCAAACCAAGCAAACCAAGGUUUCCUCAACCAGGGGAUCACAUCUACUGUGAAAGAAAGGGAGGUCUCUAUGAUCACCAUGGUUUGCUCUGUUUCUUUUCAAUUUUUUAUCCAUAUACCCAGAAGAUCAUAACAUGUAUACACACACAUAAACAUUGGGUGUUUCUGAUUGAGCACUGCAGGAAUAUAUGUGGGGGACGGCAUGGUGAUUCAUCUCCGGGGAGCAGCGAAGAAACUUGGGGAGCUACCUGCAUGCCAUAGAUGUGGAGGCAAGCGAGUCGAAAAUGGUGAAAUAGCAAAAGUAUGCAUAGAUUGUUUCCUUGAUGGUGAAACGCUCCAGAUCUAUGACUAUGGAGUUCCCGUUCUAGAAUUCAUUAGUAGAAAACGUGGUACUUGCUGCACAAGCCGUUCCAAGCCUCCUCAUGAAGUUAUUAGCGCCGCAACUGAUUUACUUGAACGGAAUGGGUUUGGCCCCUACGACAUGUUUACUAACAACUGUGAGCACUUCGCUGUGUAUUGCAAAACAGGCUCUAAGGUAAGUUACCAGAUUUUAGGCCGUAUUGAACUAGCUACUACUGCUGCUCCCGCUGGUAUUCUUGCUGGCGCUGCUGUUGCGGCAGGUUAUGGUGCUUCGGGAAGCAUGUAACUUCUGCCUGCAACUCAUUCACGGGACUUCAAUUACAUCUUACUUAUAAGUAUGAACCAUGUUAAGAAGAUCUCAUAUCCCAGUAAACUUAAAAGUCAAAGCCAACUAGUGCUGAUAUUCACCUAUAUGCAAAUAUGAAUUACAUAUUUGGUAUAUAAGUGUGUUUGAAAACAAUAUAAAAUAAGUAAUAAAAUAUAGGUUGUGGUGUUUCGGAAGGAGUGUAACUUCUGCCUGCAACUCAUUCACGGGACUUCAAUUACAUCUUAUAAGUAUGAACCAUGUUAAGAAGAUCUCAUAUCCCAGUAAACUUAAAAGUCAAAGCCAACUGGUGCUGAUAUUCACCUAUAUGCAAAUAUGAAUUGCAUAUUUGGUAGAUAACUGUGUUUGAAAAUAAGUAAUAAAAUAUAUGAUUUCAAACUAAUAAUAACAAUACAUAUGCAAAAUGCACAAAAUUAAAAUGAAAAAUUAAUUUAAAUUGUGAGUAAAAGAAAUUUAAAUAAAUAAAUUAAAUAAAUAAAUACAUUAUAUUAAGAAUAUCAAAUGCACUCCAAUUGCUUAUCAUUGGUAUUGUUAUUUUUCUAUAGCACUUAAAAUGUUAUCGUGUUAAUAUGUUAUGAUAUUGGUGAAAGGAAAAUUCAAUAUUAAAAAUUUUUUUUUUUGAAAAGAUACAAUAUUGAGUUGAUCCGUGACAUUAACUCAAUCAAUCAUAUUAUCUAUACUAGAAAUCUUAUUACAUGCGUAUACGUGUGAAAAUCACGUAUUUAGAAUACAAAUUUGUGUUUAAAAAUAACACACAAUAUAGUUAAUGAAAAAUAUGAUUUAGAAUUAAUUAAUAAUAACACAUGCCAUAUGUGCAAUACUAAAAUAAAAAAUUAGAUUAAAUUGUGAGUAAAAUGAAAUUUAAAUCACAUCAUAUUAAGAAUACUAAAUGAAUACAAUUGUUUAUCAUUGUUUUGUCAUCAAUCUUGAAUUGAUUUUGUGUUUGUUAACUCGAAUGAUUAACUCAAAAUCUCCAAGAGGGAAGGAAAAUUGGCCUUUAAGAAAAAUGGUGGAAGCAAUAAAAAAAAUGAAACAAUGAACAUAAGAGUUUAUAGUGGUUCAGCCCCAAUUACUUACCCCACUACCUUAGCUUUCUUCAACUAAGAAUUUUCCUAAAUUCACUAUUUUGAUAACCUUUGAGGAUAAUGUUUAACCUUACAAUCUUCCUUAAAAUUUCUACCCAGAAUCUUAAGAUUGUAACUCUCUUAUAGUUUCUAUCCAAACAUUAAGAUUCAACCAUCUCAAAAAGAUACAAAGAAGCGAAUAAAGAAAUAAUCUUUACAACAUCAGAAUGUUUGCCAAUUAAGCUCAAAUAAACAUGAAUACACUUGGGUUAAAGAAUAACAAUGAAAGCUCAUAAGUGUGUAUAAGAAAAAUAUGAAAGAAUUAAACAGUAAGGUUGUUUUGAUUGAUCUUUAAGCUUGACGAUCUCUCUCUUUAUUGUAGGACAUUUAAAAGAUGGUAUUUAUACCCUCUAAUUUAUUUUCAACCAUUGUGGUUGUUGUGAAAGUUAAUAGAGCCAUUGGAAUGAAAAUAUACUGGAGCAUUAAAUUCACUUACAACAAAAUGUAUUGAUACUUUUUUAACGAGUAUUGAUACUAUUAGCAUUUAAUUUCUGAUUUAGUGACCGUUAAAGUUAGUUAAUUUACGUCGAUACCAAAAAUAAUUUAUCGAUACCUAGUAAAAGGUAUCGAUACUUUUUAUAAUUGAUUGAAAACAAAAUGUCAAUUUUGUAUCGAUUUUAGAAAGGGUAUCGAUAUUUUGAAAACUAUCAAUACUUGGCCAAAAAGUAGACUUUUUGGCCUGGAGUAAUACUGACUUGUUUUAAAACGGUUUUAACUUGAUUGAAAAUGUUUAACUCAAUUGAAAUUAUUUUAACUUGAUUUUAUUAUUUUGCUAAUUUUGUUCAACUUUAACUUUUAUUCAAAAAUAUUUUAACUUGCUAUAUCAAAACAUAUUACCAAAUAAAGUUAGGUGUAACAGUGUUCAUUUGUGAUACUAACUCAAUCGACAAAAUUAUUCAUAUACACAAAUAUAUAAAAAUUCAAAACACAAAUAUACUUAUUAAAGUUCCAAAAUAAAAACUAAUAAUUACUUUAAGGGUAAUCUACAAAAAUAGUCACUUUUGUUUGCCUCAGGUUACAUUUUAGUCACUUAUGUUUGAAAUGUUACGUUUUAGUCACUUAUGUUAUUAUUUUGUUACGAAAUGAUCAUUCUACCGUUAAGUUCUGUUAUCUCUCUAACGGUAGUCCUACGUGGCAAUCCAACUAGAUUUUAGGUGCCAAUUUAAAUUUCUAAAUUGGAUAAAAAUAGAUUUUUAAUUAAAAAAAUUAAUUAAUUAAAAUUUUUAAACCUAAACCUUAACUAAAAAAACUGUUAUCUCCUCUUUUUUUAUUUUUCUUUGUCUUUUCUUUUUUUCAAUUUUUUUUCAUUUGACUGAAAAAACUAUUAUUAAGAUCAAAAUAGUUCAAAUCAAAUUGACUGCUUCAUAAAAAUGGAUUCAAUGGAGGGUUAAAAAGUUUUUAUGUGCAUGGUGUCAUUGGUUAAAAUCUCAUUAUGGAUAAAUUUUUAUUGAUUUAUAAAAAUAUAAAAAGACAAAAGCAUCCACAUAAUCAUAUAACUUUACAAAUAAAAUGAUUUUUUUGGUAAUUUCUUAACUAGGUUGAGACUUGGGUGACGCUAACUCAAUAAAAUGCUUAAUAAAUAAUAUAGAUACAUAUAACACGAAGUGGGUGGAAAAAAAUUAUGUAAAAAAAUUAUUUAAGACCAUAAUGAAUCUUUGUUUCGCUAGUUGUAACUCUACGUUUUGCUUCUGACAGUCUUAAAAUUCAAACUUUAAGUUUUCAUAAACCUAAUCCAUAUCAUACAACACUUAAUUAAUUAUCAAAUAUUAAAAUCAUAUAAAAAUCGAGCAUAAUUAAAAAAAAAAAAAACUCAAACAAACGCAAAUGAGAAAGCUAAGAUGCAACAUUUCACUUAACAACCAAACGAAAUAUUAAAUAUAAAGGCCGAAAUAUGAACACUUAUUACAUAUGAAGAUGUUUCUCCAUUUGUAACUACUGAGAGUUACUUUGAAUUUUUUGUUAGGAGAGAGUAAGUAGAGCUUAAGGGGAGCUGGAGCUUAAUGUCAAUGAUGCUAGUAUUACAUUCAUUACUUGAGAAAGUUGACUUUAUGUUUUAGGUCAAAAAAUGCUAAAGAAGAGAAUUGUCAACGACUCGAAAGUUGCAUGCAAAUUCCAUUACUAGAAAAAUUUUCAGAAGCCUAUUAAAAAAAUUCUUUUAGAAGGAAAUUUACAAUUUUUAGACGACUUUUUAGGUCAUGAUUAGGCUAAUAAGAAAAUAUACAUGACGGUUGGUGGCGUGCUUUUGGAAACUUUGUCUAAGGGCUUCUCUGACUCUCCAUAUAAUUACUUCUAGAUAUGUGUACUUGCAACGGCAUGUAAUAGGAAUAUUAAUAAGUGAUGAAUGUUAAAAUUAUAUAUAAAUUUUAAUUUAAUGUGUAAUUAUUAUAGCGACGUAAAAUUUUUUUUCUUCCGGUCGCUAAUUGUGGCGAUUUAAUGAAAAGUUGAAAACUAAAGAUUAAUUUUGAAGUAAAGUGGGAGUCGCCACCGAUCUUUUUUUUAGGUGUGAUCGGACACCUAAUAAAACAUCUUUUUGAAAAGAAAAUUUAUUCUCGAACAAAGAUGAAGGCUAAAUUUAGGUCUACGUCAAAAGUCAGAUAAAAAUCAGGGUUCGGGAGUCGGUUACGCGCGAGGAAGGUAUUAGCACCCUCGCGACGCCCAAAAUUAGUAUCUUAUAAACACGUGUUGUCUUGAUUUUCAAAAAUUCGAGUUCAAUGCAAGAUUUAGUCGUGAUCCAGUUGAAAAGACGAGAAAUUUUAGUUUUUUUGGUUUUUUAGAAGGGCAUACCGUUUUAACACGAGUCGAUUGAUGUUCACCCAACAUAGCGAUGAAAUCGACGACUUAGUAUUAAACCGAUACGUUGGCUCAUGUAUUGAAAUUAAUUAGAAAACAAGAAUAAGAUUUUCGAACUCAUGCAAAGCAAAUAAAUAAAUGACAGAGCUAGAAAUAUAUUGACGCAAAUACAAGUGUGACAAUAAUAUUAAAAGUAACAAAGAUAUAUGCGAUAUUAGACAUAAUACUAGAAUUAAACACGAAAUAGAAACAAUGAAUGCACAUACAUAAUGAUGAUGUUAGGAGUAUGUACGUAAUAUAGGAAUGAAAAAUAUUUACAUAAUAAUACUAAAUAUAGGUACAUAAUAUAUAUAUAUGCAUAACAUAUUUAAAAUGAACACAUACAAUAUACACAUAUAAUAGACACACACUAAUAAUAAUAGUAAUAAUAGUAAUAAUAGAAAGAUAUAUAUAUACCAAAUAACACCUAACAAUAUGAUAAGUAGCAAAAUGGAAAAUAAUAAGUAUAUUAAUGAGCAUAAUAAAAUAAUGCUAUAUAAAAUAUAUAUACACGUAAAUUAUAUGUAAUAAUAUUAGUAAUAAGUAUAAUAGGAAUAAAAUAAAUGUAAUAAUGAGAUAUACAAGAUACAUACAUAAAUACAAGGUUUAAAAGGCAUAUAUAUCCGUAAUAUAUAAAAACGUAUAUAUAAUAUUAAAACAUUUACAUAACAUAUACACACAUAAUUAUAAUGUUAAAAAACACACUUAAUAUUAAUAACAAUAUUAAUAUUACAUAAAGGUAUACCUAUAUAUACAUUAAAGAUGUAUACAUAUAUAAUAAAAUACUUGAAUAAUAUGAUAUUAAAAAUAUAUGUAAUACGUAUAAUAAAAAUAAUAUACAUAAUAUAAGAAUAUAGGAGUAUAGGAGUAUUAAAAAUAUAAAUAAAAUAAUGAAGAAAUGAAUAAAAAUAGUAUGCAUAAUAAUAUAAUAAGAAAAUAUUAUAAUAAGUACUAAAAAAUAUCUAUAUAUAUAUAUACAUGUAUAAUAAUGAAUAAUAUGAUAUACGAAAAAUAGUACUAAUAAAAAGUAUAUAUAUAUGUGUAAUAAAAUAUAUGUACUAAUAUUAGUAAUAAAUAUAAAUAAUAUAUACAUAGUAUGGUAUUAAAAAAACAUAGAUAUAUAAAACAUAGUACUAAGAUAUACAUAUAAUAUGUAAGAAUAUAUAUAUGUCAUAAAGUAUUAAAAAUUUGUACACGAUGCAUAUAAUAUGAUGUUAAGAGUAUACAUAUGAAAUAUGAUAUUAAAAGUAAGUAUACGUAGUACAAAGAAUGUAUAUAUAUAAUAUAGCAUUAAAAUAUAUGCAUAAUAUAUUAAAGAAUAAUAAUGUUAUAAGCAACUAGUAAUAAUACUUCAUAAAUAUAUACAUACUAAAAAUAUACAUAAUAAUAAUAAUAUAUACAUACAAAGUACACUAAUAUUUAAAAAUAAUAACAGUAAAUAUAAUAUUAAUAUUAAAUAAAAUUAAUAUUACAAAUUUAAUUUGAGAGCAAAAAUGACAAAAAGGACUAAAUUCGGAUUAAAAACAAAGUUUAGGGAAAAUUCGAAAUAAAAAAAGAAAAGAGAACAACCUAUUUCAACGCGCGCAAAUAGUGGAGGGACUAAAAACGAAAUAAACCCAUUCGAUCAAAUCGCACAGUAUUAUGGGGACUAAAUUGAAAACCAUGGAAAAUUAUGGGGUCGAAUUAAAAAAUGACAAAAUACUUAAUUGCAAAACGUUUAAAAAGCGGAGGGGUUAAACGCGCAAAUAACCCUCCCUUAAAAAACACGCUGAUCCUGCUCGGAGCGGGUCGGGUCGACCCGACCCGGGUCCAAAACGACGUCAUUUUAUUGUUAAAACCGGGGGACCAAAAUGCACCGUUUUUGUCCCCUAUAAAAGAUAAAAAAAUUUCAAAAAUUUCAUUUGGGACCGGGGAAAGAAAAAAAAAGAAAGAGAGGGGGGAGAGAAAAUGGAUUCCGGCCAGGGGGCACCGGUCCGUCACCAGACCACCGUCGGUCGCUGGCGCCGGCCACCGUGAAAAUCGAAAGGUAUGAUUUUUCUUCCCUUUUUUUUUAAAAAAAUUGUUUUAUAUUUUUUUAUAUAUUUUAGUAUAUAUAUGUGAAAAAUAGGCCUAGAAAACGAAACUAAAACAAAAAAAAUAUUACCUUAAAUUUCUAGUUUUUGAUUUUUGAUAUCUUUGAUUCUCUGAUUUUGAGUGUUCGAAUCACUGCUUGUAUAUGUAUUGUACUCUAACUUAGGUAUUGAUUUUCCUUGAACAUUCGAAUAAACACCAAAAAGAAAAAAAAGAAGAAAAAGAGCUGACCCUUUUACAAUGGUUUUCAUGGCUUUUUAUAGCCUUUACAUGGUCUGUUUCUUAUUGUUGCAUGUCUGCUUGACCUUGCAGGUGAGUUGGUGGCCGGUGGAGGUGACCAUGGGGUAGGUGGCGCCAGGGGAUGGUGUUGGCAGAGGCAAGUGAGAGGGUGGUUGCGGCGCUGAGGCAAGUGGGAAGAGGCUAGGGUUUGUGAUAGAUUUUUUGAAUUUGGUUUAGGGUUUGGGUGUAAUUGGGCUGUUGGGUAUUUGGGUUUUUUGGUGGGUUAGUUUAGGUGGGCUCAGGUAGGUUGAUGUGUAUUAGGCUGAUGGUUGUAAAUUUAUUUGGGCUGAGGGUGGGUUAGAUGGUUUAAGGGGUUUAAUGUAUUGGCUUUAUUUGUUGGGUCAAAAUUGGGUAGGUUAGUUGUAAUGUAUUUGGCUGAUGGGUUAUUUUGCUUUGGGUUUUAUUGGUUUAAUGUAAAUGGGUCAUGGAUAAAAUUGGGUUAUAAUAGCUACCCCUCUUUGCUCAUUUCGUGUAACAGGAAUGGAGCAAAGACAUAAUGAAAGGCCAAUUUUGCCCGUCUUGCCGAAUCUUGAUUUCAUUGGUGCUCCUCUUGUUCAGGUAGUCUCUUUCUAGUCCAUCGCAUCUUGUAGCUUUGGUUCAAUCCACUGCAUCUCCUGAUAUACGCCUUGUAGUUUCAAUCUUCUUCAAUGUAGCUUCAAGGAUAUGAGAUUUGUGGCUUCAAUCUGCCUUACUUGUAACUUUAGAAAGAUAAGAUCUACGACUUCAAAUCUGCUUUUCUAUCGCUUCAAUGAGAUAAGGUUUGUUGUCUUCUCUUCUGUAACUUUUAGAAAGACAAGAUCUGAUAUCCUCUAUCAGCUCCACUGCAACUUCAGGGGGACAAAACUUGCAACUUUGACCUGCUCCGCUGCAACUUCAGGAAGACAAGACUUGUAACUUUGGCCUACUCCACUGCAACUUCAGGGAAACAAAAUCUGGUGUCUUCAAUCAACUCCAAUCUUUAUUCUUUACUCGGCAUGUGAUCUUAAGCUCAACUUAUUUAUCGCAAUAUGGAUUGACUCUUGAAAACAGACAUUAAAAACAGAAAUUGAAAAUAGCUCAGCGCGUGAGCCAAGGCUCAAUUCACCUCUCGCAAUAUGAGUUGGUAUUUUUGAAACUUAAUUUGAAAAGUUGAUUUUUGAAAAUACCUCGACAUGUGACCCGAGGCUCAACCCACCUCUCGCAUUAUGAGUUGAUUUUUUUGAAAAAAAAAAUGUAAAUUGAAGAAACAGGAAUUGAAAAUACCUCAGCGUGUGAACCGAGGCUCAACUCACCUCUCGCAAUAUGAGUUGAUUUUUGAAAACAGAAUUUGCAAAACAGAUUUUGAAAAUAUCUCGGCAUGUGACCCGAGGCUCAACUCACCUCUCGCAAUAUGAGUUGAUUUUUGAAGAGUAGAAAUUAAACAGAAUUCGAAAAACAGAAUUUGAAAAUACCUCGACAUGUGACCCGAGGUUCAACUCACCUAUCGCAAUAUGAGUUGAUUUUUUUGAAACGUAAAUUAAAGAACAAAAAUUGAACAUACCUCAGCUUGUCCUGAGGCUCAACUUACCUCUCGCAAUAUGAGUUGAUUUUUUUGAAACAUAAAUUGAAAAUACCUCGGCGUGUGACCUGAGGCUCAAUUCACCUCUAGCAAUAUGAAUUGAUUUUUGAAAAACAUAAGUUGAAAAUACCUCAGCAUGCCCUGAGGCUCAACUCACCUCCCGCAAUAUGAGUUGAUUUUUGAAAAACAUAAAUUGGAAAUACCUCAGCGUGCCCUGAGGCUCAACUCACCUCUCGCAAUAUGAGUUGAUUUUUUUGAAAAGCAUAAAUUGAAAAAAAAUGAAAAUCAAAAAUACCUUAGCGUGUCCCGAGGCUCAACUCACCUCUCGCAAUAAGAGUUGAUUUUUUGAAACAUAAAUAAAAAACAUCAAAAUACCAAAAGAUGUCUUCUGGUGGAAUUCAUGUGUCUUUUCCUUGAUCCAGUAUAACUAUCAUUCAAAAUUUCUUGCUCUGCUGGAGUACCUGUGUAUGUCAUGUAUGAUGUUAUCAUGAUAUGCACAUGUUGGUCUUAAAUGCCUUUAUGCCUACAUGAUCAUGCUAUGCGCCUUGGGCUUGUUUGUCAUAUGCCCUUUUCUAUCAUGAUUUUUGAUGAUCUGCGUUCAUUUAUUUGACUCUUUACUUUCUCUUCAGGCCCUGUGUAACGCCCCCACGCCCGAGACCAUCGCCGGAGUCGAGUAUGGGGUGUUACUAAGCUUAGUUUAACAUUUUUAGAACUUUGGAUUAUUGUUUCUACAUUCACAGCUUUUAAGCUAUUUGCAUCACAGUCACAAGAAAAAUCAUAUCUUGAGUUACAAAAACUCGAAAUCAAGAUCCAUAAAUUUUCCCUAAAUCUAGACUCGUAUACCUAUCUACUAAUUUUUUUCUAGAAUUUUUGGUUGGUUCAAUUAGUACAGUUUAUUAGUUAAAGUUACCCCUAUUUCAGGACUCAACUGGUCUGACCUCUAUUUACUACGAACCACAUUUCUCUCUGUAAAAAAUUCAUAUGACUAUGAGAUUUGUUUCUACUAAAACUAGACUCAAUAAGGAUUCUGUGGAUAUAAAAUAUACCACCUAAUUAUAUCUUUAUAAUUUAUGAUGAAUUUCUAAAGUUGGAACAGGGGAUUCAAAAACUGCUAUGACCCUGUUUCACUAAAAUUCAAAUAUCUUCUAACAUAUAAUUCUUUUACCUGUUUCAUUUGUUUCAUGUGAAACUAGACAUAAUAAGAUUCAAUUUGAUAUGUAGUCCAUCACCAAAUUCAAUUGCUAUGAUUUUUAGUAAAUUUUCAAACUCGCGUCAGUGUUGCUGCAGUAUUAUGUUUAUGGCAAAUUUCAUCCUUUUUAUGAAUUUUUAUGCACUAAGUAUCUUAAUAGUUUCCUUAACAUCAAACAUAAUCUACACUAACCAUUUUCAUAAUUUAUCAUUAUCAAGAAUUUCCUCAACCAUUCCACAACCAUACCAUAAGAUCAUUUACGCAAAAUAGGUAUAUUGCUAUACAUGCCAUACUUAAAUUUACAAGUCAUUUACCAAAAGUCUUCCGGAUAGUGUGACUGAGCCUUCGACCUAUCCCGACUCCUGAGCUGGCUUGUCCAAAACUACAAUGAGUAAGAAGGAGGGAGUAAGCAUAAAUACUUAGUAAGUUCAUAUGCAAAUAAUAAGUAACAUAACAAACAGUUAUACCAAUCAACAUUAGCAUACAUCACUAAAACACCUAUCACAUUUCUGAUCAUUUUUCAUCAUCUUAUUACCUUAUAGUGGUUGUAUCAAUACUCAACCCGAGGGUUAAAUACAUACCUGUCCAAAAUAACCAUUUCACAUCACUCACCAAUACUUCUCUUUACAUCUCGAAUAUUCCUCCAUUGAGUAGAACUUUACCCGUUGAGCACAUCGGAAUAUAAUUCGGAUACAUGGAUAAUUUGCAUAUAAGUGCCACAUAUUCAAUCAAGCAAUCAUGUAACCCGCCCAUAAGCGAACUCGGACUCAACUCAACGAGCUCGGGCGUUCGCAUCCAUAAGUGAACUCGGACUCAACUCAACGAGUUCGGAUGCCUAGUUACAUCUCACGAACUCGGACUCAACUCAACGAGUUCGGACAUUCGCAUCCAUAAGUGAACUCGGACUCAACUCAACGAGUUCGGAUGCUCAACCAUCCUAGUGACAUGUCACUUGUAUCCUAAUCUAUUCCUAAGGUUCAAACGGGAUUUUUCUCGAACACUUAUCCUUACCGUCUUCCGUAGAAUGCCGAAAUCAAUACUCGGUAACAAUUAUAUUUAACAAGUAGCUCACAUAAUUUACAUAUUAUUUGAAAUUAACCACAAAGCAUACAUUUCAUAAUGAAAUUCAGCAUAACACAUAAUUAAUAUCAAUAACAUAAAAAUAAAAAUUAUGCUACAUUAUUUACACAUGAACUUACCUUGGUACCAAAAUACAAGGAUUUUGCAAUUUAGUCCACAAUCUUUUAUUUUCCUCGAUUGAGGUCAAUUCCACGUCUUUCUUGAUCUAAAAUAACACAUUUAGCUCAUUUAAUACUCACAUUAUCAAAUUAAUCCUUAACUCAAAUUUUGGCAAAAUUACAAUUUUGCCCCUAAACUUUUGCAUAUUUACAUUUUUGCCCCUAGUCUCAGGAUUAAACUUUAUUGCUUGUUCUUAUGUUUUACAACAUGCUGAUUACUUUCCUCUUCUAUGGCAACAUCAAAUUCUCACUCUAACAUGUACUUAUGACUAUUAGGUAUUUUUACCGAUUAAACCCUUUUACUCGUUUUCGCUCAAAACCGAGUAGCACAAGUUGUUUAACAUAAUUUAAAACCCCAUAUUCUAUCAUAAAACAUCAAAAUACACAAAUUUCACCUAUGGGUAUUUUUCCAAAUAUGAACCCUAAGUUGAAUUAUUGUUAGCAUAAGCUUAAUCGAGCUACCGGGAUCUCAAAAACGUAAAAAUCAUUAAAAACAGGGCUUAGAAUCACUUACUAUGAAGCUUGAAAGUUGAAGAAACCCUAGCUAUGGUGAGAGUGAAGUUUCGGCAGCAACUAAAUGGGGAAGAUGACUAUUUUGUGUUAUUUUUCCCAUUUUAUUUCAUUUAAUAUCAAAAUGACCAAAAUGCCCCCUCCUCGCUAAACUUUCAAAAAUUCCUUCCAUGUCCUAAUUUUUCCCAUGAACUUAAAAUUGGUAAAAUUUCUAUUUAAGACCUCCUAAUAAAUAUUUCAAAGCAAUUUCAUACUAAAAACUUCUAGAAUGCAAGUUUUGCAACUUAUUCGAUUUAGUCCCUACUUUCAAUUUAAGCACUUUAGGCAUAGAAUUUCAUCACGAAAUUUUCACACAAUCAUGUAAUCAUAUCAUAAUCAUCAAAAUAAUUAUAAAAUAAUUAUUUCUAUCUCGAAUUUGUGGUUACGAAACCACUAUUCCGAUUAGGCCCUAAUUCGGGAUAUUACACCCUAUACUCGUCCUCUAGCUUCACGAGUAAUCUACGUUUCUCAGAUAUCACUCUUUUGCCCCUGGUUGAACUUUAUCCUUGCUUUGAGGCUCUUGUACUUAUCAAAUUCUUAUCCGGGUAAUGCUUAACAUUUUUUUGUUUAGAGUAUGUCAUUUCACUAUUUAUCAAGUAAAUAAACCACAUAAUUAGAUGCAUGAAAAUGGUCAGGUAGGAACAAAAGGAUACCUCACAUUUAUUUAUUUCAAAUGUAGCAAACAAAGAAAGUUAAUCGAUGAUAGUAAAAAAUGUCAUAAAGAGAAAAGGGAUCGCAUUCAAUGGAUACAAAUGCUCUAGAUAUUCAACGCAUAAACUCUUCCACAUUCCUCAAUCAAGAAUCUUUUCGAGCAUGGCUUCUUGCAUAGAAGAUUUUGAGCUGCUAAAAUGCUUCAAAUACUGUAUUCCCGCUGUUUGACCCACCGUGUAAAAUGCCUUACUUUUUAAGCCAGUGCUUGCUUCAUUAGGACGCCCUUUUGGAUUUUCAUCCUAAUCUUUUGUUUUAAUCAAGACGCCCUUUUCGGGUUUUCACCUUGAUCUCUCUCUUUUUUUUAAGAUACCCUUUUUCGGGUUUUCAUCUUGAUUUUUUCAAGCAUAAUAUUUCUUCACAGCAUCUGAAUUUACUGGAUUCGGUAACUCCUUCCCAUCCAUCUCGGUGAGAAUCAAAGCUCCACCUGAGAAAGCCUUCUUUACGACGUAUGGUCCUUCCCAAUUUGGUGCCCAUUUUCCUCGCAGAUCUUUUUGUAUUGGGAGGAUCUUUCUCAACACGAGUUCUCCUUCGUGGAAUUCUCUCGGCCGUACCUUCUUGUCAUGGGCCGCGAUCAUUCUCUUCUGGUACAUCUGUCCGUGACAAAUUGCCUUUAAACGUUUUUCUUCGAUGAGGUUUAACUGGUCAUAUCGAGCUUGAACCCAUUCUGCUUCCUCUAAUUUCAACUUCAUUAAGACUUGUAGAGAAGGGAUCUCAACUUCGAUAGGUAGCACAGCUUCCAUUCCAUAGACCAAAAAGAAAGGAGUUGCUCCCGUAGAUGUCCGUACAGAUGUGCGAUAUGCAUACAAAGCAAAUGGUAGCUUCUCGUGCCAGUCUUUAUAUGUCUCGGUCAUUUUCCUAAUAAUCUUCUUAAUAUUCUUGUUGGCCGCUUCAACAGCUCCGUUCAUUUUCAGGCGAUAGGGCAAUGAGUUAUGAUGCUUUAUUCGAAAUUGCUCGCACACUUCCUUCAUCAUCUUAUUGUUCAGAUUCAAGGCAUUAUCUAAAAUGAUCCUUUUAGGCAAACCAUAUCGACAAAUGAUUUCCUUUUUCAAAAACCUGCAAACUGCAAUUUUUGUCACAUUGGCAAAUGAAACAGCUUCUGUCCAUUUUGUGAAGUAAUCAAUAACCACAAAAAUGAACCGGUGUCCAUUAGAAGCUUUUGGGGAGAUUGGCCCUAUAACAUCCAUGCCCCACAUAGAAAAAGGCCACGGAGAAAUCAUGACAUGAAGGGGCGAAGGGGCUACGUGAAUUUUAUCACCAUAAAUUUGACAUUUGUGGCACUUUCGUGCAAAACUAAUGCAGUCACUUUCCAUUGUCAGCCAGUAAUAACCGUGUCUUAUAAUCUUCCUGGACAUAGCGAAACCAUUGGCAUGUGUCCCACAAAUUCCUUCAUGGACAUCUUCGAGUAUUUUUCUGGCUUCAACAGAAUCUACGCAUCUCAAGAGCACCUGAUCUUUUCCUCUUUUGUACAGGAUGUCCCCAUCGAGAACAAAUCCUGCUGCCAUUCUUCUGAUUGUUCUUUUGUUGUUCUCAUUUACUUGUUCGGGAUAUUUUUGAUUCUUGAUAUAUUCUAAGACAUCAUGGAACCAUGGCCGACCAUCUGGCUCUUUUUCAAUGCUGAAACAAUGUGCAGGGACUUCAUAUAUGCUCAUUUGAAGAGGCAUUAUUUUUGUUUCUCUGUUCGCUUUGAACAUUGAAGCCAAAGUGGCCAGAGCAUUAGCCAAUUGGUUUUCUUCUCGCGGGAAGUAAUUAAAAGUUAUUUCUUUGAAUUCUUUGAUCAGUCCUGCCACUAGAUCGCUGUAUUUGACUAAUUUCGAAUCUCUCACUUCCCAAUCUCCACGGAUUUGGUAAAUCACCAAUGCUGAGUCUCCGUAUACCUCUAAAGUUUUGAUGUUUCGUUCGAUUACUGCACAAAGUCCCAUGAUACAGGCCUCAUAUUCCGCUAUGUUGUUGGUACAGAAGAAAUUCAACUUGGCAGUGAACGGAUAAUGGUUCCCUUCUGGUGAUACCAAGACUGCUCCAAUCCCAUGCCCCAAGGCAUUCGAUGCACCAUCAAAGCUCAUCUUCCAUGAUUUUUCUUUUGAUGACUCGCACUCUUUUUCUGUAAUACACAUCAAGUCUUCAUCUAGGAAAUCAAAUCUCAAUGGCUCAUAUUUCUCUGUUGUUCGAGUUGCUAAAAAAUCAGCUAUUGCACUCCCUUUUAUCGACUUUUGGCUCACAUAGACGAUGUCAUAUUCUGACAGUAGGAUUUGCCAUCGUGUCAUUCUUCCUGAGAGUGCAGGUGAUUCCAUCAUGUACUUUAUUGGAUCUAGCUUUGAAAUUAACCAUGUCGUAUGAUACAACAUAUAUUGCCUAAGUCUCCGAGCUACCCAAACCAGAGCGCAACAAUAUUUUUCAAUGGACGAAUACUUUGCCUCGUGUUCAUUGAACUUUUUGCUGAGGUAGUAGAUCGCUUUUUCUUUCUUUUUUCCUGACUUGUUGUGUUGCCCUAACACGUAACCCAUUAACUUUUCGAACACAGUCAAAUACAGUAUCAAUGGUCUUCCCGGAGUUGGCGGUACUAGCACUGGAGGACUAGACAAAUAUUGUUUUAUCUUAUCAAAGGCCACCUGGCAUUCCUCAUUCCAUUCUCCUGGGUUAUGUUUUCGAAGGAGUCGAAAGAUUAGGUCGCAUUGGUUGGUAAGUUGAGCGAUAAAUCGGGUGAUGUAGUUUAAUCUCCCUAAAAAUCCUCUGACUUCCUUUUGCGUGCGCGGGGGUGGUAACUCUUGAAUGGCUUUUUUUUAUUUGGAUCAACCUCGAUACCUCUUUCACUGACAAUGAAGCCUAGCAACUUUCUAGAGGUAACCCCAAACGUACAUUUGGCAGGAUUGAGCUUUAGCUGAAACUUUCUCAGUCUGUCAAACAACUUCUUCAGGUUCGCUACAUGCUCUUCUUCCCCUCGGGACUUAGCAAUCAUAUCGUCGACGUAGACCUCUAUUUCUCUAUGCAUCAUGUCAUGGAAUAACGUCACCAUAGCCCUCUAAUAUGUUACCUCAACAUUCUUUAACCCAAAUGGCAUUACCUUGUAGUAGAAUGUUCCCUAAAUUGUUAUGAAAGUGGUUUUCUCCAUAUCCUCAGGGGCCAUCUUGAUCUGAUUGUACCCGAGAAUCCAUCCAUGAAAAAAAACAAUGAAUGCUUUGUUGUGUUAUCCACCAACGUAUCAAUGUGUGGCAAGGAAAAAUUAUCUUUAGGACUUGCUCGAUUCAGGUCACGAUAAUCCACGCACAUUCGUACUUUGCCGUCUUCCUUUGGUACCGGGACUAUGUUAGCCACCCAUUCUGGAUAUUUGGAGGUUUGUAAGAAGCCAGCAUCGAAUUGCUUCUUGACUUCCUCUUUUAUCUUUAACAGCAUUUCAGGUCUCAUUCGUCUUAGCUUUUGUUGAAUGGGUUUGCAUUCUGGCUUUAAUGGGAGUUUAUGGACCACUACAUCUUCACCCAAUCCUGGCAUAUCCUGAUAUGACCAUGCGAAUACAUCUUUGUACUCGCGAAGCAAAGCAAUCAAAUUGUGCCUGGUACCCCCUGAAAUAGAGGUGCCAAUCUUCACUUCUUGUUUCUUUUCCUCAGUUCCCAAAUUUAUUGUUUCAACAGAUUCUUGAUGAGGUAAAAUCUGUUUAUCCUCUUGUUCCACCAUUCUUAGCAAGUCAGGAGAUGAGACAUAUUUUUCAGCAUUUUCUUCGGCUUCGAAUUCUCCUAAACAAACAGCCUUCUCAAAAUCGAUUUCAGGACUCGCAACAGGUUUGUUCAUGCCGUUGAUAUCUGAGCAGCUGAAAGUUGAAUGGAAAAGAAAACUAUAGAGGGGCAUCCAAGUAUUGGAACCAACAAACGAAAUGUUAUGGCAUGGCAUGAGCCAAAUGUAAGGAUAGGCUAUGAAAUGAGAAAAUGAUUAUGAAAUUAGUGAAAAUGCGAAAGAUCGUGACAAAAUGCAUCUUCAUUGAUGUUCAUUUAAAUGAUAAAAAGCAAAUCAUAAGCUCUUACAAAAGAAUCCCUACUAUUACUUAGGGGCACAUAAAAAGAAUAGCGUUAAUAUUGAGCGUUACUCUGGAGAAGAUUUAGAAACUACAAGGAGCUCCACAGCAGUCCAAUUGUUCAAAACAAAUACAGGAGGACAAGGGCGUAUCGUUGAAACAUCUUUAAUUGCAUCACUUCCUUUGUCAAUAACAUUUAUACUGACAUUCUGAAGACCCCUUUCAAUUAAUAACAUCGUACUUCGUGGACUAUCUUCCCCGGGGUAUAUCAUUCCUGCAGAUGUAAAUGUUUUUGACAAAGGAGGGUACGUUAUGGGCUUCCAUUCUAAUUCUCGGCCUAAAUUUCUUGCGAUCCUUCUUUCCUGAUCUUUUUUCCAUUAUUUUCUUCUUUGACGUAUGUCCGGCUGGAACCCCAGACCGUAUCGGGCCUUGUGGUGUACUGGCUUUAAAGCCCUAACUAUUCCUUGCAGAUAUCUCCCUAAACAUUUUCUCACUCGAGCUCCCUUUCCUACAGUCAAUUUGACACCUAUUCUAGUAUUUCUUGACAGUUUUGGCAUCGGAAUUCUGUUUCCCUCAGCGACAAAAGUGGCAUUGACAAAUUCAAUGGAUCGGAAGGAACAUUCUAUUGCAUCUUUACUCACUUCAAUGUAUGGUGCGUCGGUAGAAAUAGAUGCUACAAUGUCUUUUUCUCCCUCGACAGUGACCAAACAACCAUCCAUGAUAAAUUUCACCUUUUGAUGGAGGGAUGAUGGGACCGCUCAAGCGAAAUGGAUCCAAGGUCUUCCCAAAAGGAAGUUAUAUGAGGGUGUAAUGUCCAUGACUUGGAACUCGAUAUUGUAUAUAUAGGGACCCACUUCUAGAGGGAUCUCGAUUUUUCCCAUGACUUCUCGUAUUGUCCCGUCGAAUGCCCUUACUGUGGAAUGACAGGGCCUUAAAUAGGAUAGAUUUAUUAGAAUUCUGGACAGCGUGGCUAAAGGCAUGACAUUGAGUACCGACCCAUUAUCGAUAAGCACGUUCGGUAUUAUGUAGCCAUUGUAGCGAGUCGUAAUAUGUAGUGCUUUCACCGAGCCUCUACCGUUUGGCGGUAUCUCAUCAUCACUAAAAGAGACGAAAUUGUCCUUGUUCAGAUUGUUCACCCACCUAUCAAGCUUCUCAGCUGAUAUGUUAUUUGCCACGUAAGCUUGAUUUAGCACUUUCAGCAAAGCGUUCCGGUGUGGCUCUGAAUUUAACAAUAGAGAUAAAACUGAGAUUCGCGCUGGUUGCUUAUUCAAUUGUUCCACCACAUUGUAUUCACUAUGCUUGAUAAAUUUCAAAAACUCCAGUGCUUCCUCCUCUCCCACAGGCUUUUUAGUUUCUGGUUCAGACGCAGUUUCAUGCUCAUCUUCGGUCACGUGCAUUGGUGCUUUUCCUUUCUGUUUCAAGUCACUAUUCUUCUUUGCCGACUCGACUUCUUUAGAAUAGCACCGCCCACUGCGGGUAAAAUGGCCUACCUCCCCAACAUCUCCAGUUGUGGCUUCGAACUUUUCACCUUCAGGUGUGACGAUAUUGACGUCAUAUUUCCACGGUACCGCCUUGUCUUCCUUGUAAGGGAAAAGAGAUGGUACUUUGAUUAUCACUUUCAGUUUCAUCGGCUCCUUCUUCAUGUCGUAAUAAAUUACUAACGGUCGAUUAGCACUAUAAGGGAGACCUGAUGAUUGGCUGUCAGAGGCGCAUACUUCUCUUUCGUUGGCCUCUUCCCUUUUGUUAAGGACCUUAAUCUCCUUAUUAUCCAUCCGGUCUUGAAGAAACCUUUUAAAUUCCUCACACGAUUGAAUGUCGUGUCCUACAAUUCCAUGAAAAUCGUAAAAUCUUUGACCUUUUUCUCCGAAAAUUCUAUCGGGGUGACAGAGCAAUCAUUUCUUAAUCAGAACCUCCCAUAUUUUUUGCAGAGGUGUCCUUAUUUCCGAAACAUAUUUUCUGACUUGUCAUUCGUCCUCUUUCCCUUAUUUUCGAAACAUAUUUUCUGACUUGCCAUUCGUCCUCUUUCCCCACUGUGGUUACAUUCCCUUCGGUAUGGUUAGGGAACGGGUUCCCAGUUGCAUUACUCGAACUAUCGAAUCGUAGGAUGCCCGCAUCAAUGAGUCCUUGAACUCUCCUCUUAAAGGCUAGGCAAUUCUCCGUGGAAUGCCCCUAGUUCCCAGCAUGGUACAACUAACGUUUGGAUCGUACCACUUCGGGUAUGGAGGUUUAAAGGGUGCCAUGUAAUGAGGAGAUAUUAGUUGUUUUUCCAAAAUUUUUGGGUAUAAUUCCCCACACGACACAGGGAUAGGAGUAAAUUGCAGUCUCUCGAGAUUGGGUCUUGGUUCGUUUCUGGGUUGGCUUUGAGUGGAUACAGUGUUUUGUGGGAAUGUGGUGACGAGUCAUUGGUUGUUCGUGGCGUAUACGGGGUAGGAAGGAGGUGGUGCUUGGUAAUAAGGGGUUUGAGGGGGAUAAUAGAAAUUUGGAGGUGGAUAAUUUCGAGGUCGGGGUGGGUUUGGAUAUGGAUUAGGGGUAUAUAACGGCUUCCCAUUCCCACCAUAUGGGCUUCUGGUUCUUUCUUCUUCAUGGGGGCUACCCUUCUUGAACUUUCUUGACCUUCCAUUCUACCGCUCUUGACGGCAUUCUCUAUAAGCUCACCGGAUAUUACAAUAUCCGCAAGUCUUUCGUGGCACUUCCCACUAGUUUGUCAUAAAAUGGCACUUUAAGGUGUUGAUAAAGAGAACGGUUAUCUCCAUUUUGUUAGUGGGGUUUCACUUGGGCCGAGACGUCCCUCCAUCUCUGCGCAUACUGUCUAAAAGUUUCUGACGGCUUUUUCUCCAUCAUUUACAAAGUCAUCCGGUCUGGCACCAUAUCCGAUACAUGCUUGUACUGCUCACAGAAUGCUGAUGCCAAGUCUUUCUAGGAUCGAAUCUUUUCCUUACUAAGCUGGUUGUACCACCGAAAUAGCCGAUCCUCAGGUAUGGCACCAUUCCGAUACAUGCUUGUACUGCUCACAGAAUGCUGAUGCCAAGUCUUUCUAGGAUGAAUCUUUUUCCUUUACUAAGCUGGUUGUACCACCGGAAUAGCCGAUCCUACUAGACUAUCUGAAAACACAUGGUAUGAGUAGCUAUCUUUGUCAUAUAACCGGUCAUCUUCCGGAAGAACAUGAUGAGAUGCGCUUUUGGGCAUCUCGUCCCAUUGCACUUUUCAAAAUUAGACACCUUGAACUUCAACAAGGAAAAAUUAGAUCGGGUACCAAACCUGAGUUCCUUAUUGCACCUAGUGCAGAGAAGACUUCAGUGCCUUCUAUCGCUUUGAGUCUUUCCUCUAGGCUCCUAUAUAUUCUCAUUCGCAUUGUGAUUAUCCAAUUUCAACCUGGCUAUCUCUGCUGGAUCGUCCAAAUUUGGAAUGAGUGGAUCGGUAAGACUAGCCCCCGGGUUUGAUACGAACAUUCUUUGCCCCAAAUUAGCAGGUGGCGCAGGUCGUUACUCCAGGCCGGUAGUUUCCCAUUGAACGUACCCUCUUUGUGUUGCAUGGGCGUGCGGUGGAGUAAAUCCUGGAGGAUGAGGUGGAUCCUGAUCGAGGUUAACCCUUGACUGUGGUUCCACAACGUCAGGGUUCAUAGGUCCCUUUCCUUUUACCAGAGUCGACAUCAUUUCCAUCAUCUUGGCUAUUUGAUCCUUCUGUUCAAGUGAUUCUUCUCGAGAUCUCACUAUCAGAUCUCUGGUUUCUUGCUAUGACUUAGCCAGUUGUUCUUGUAAUUCCCUUUGUAUUCUUUCCAUCCUCUCAAUCCUUUCGUUAAAUUCAGCCUCCAUUACUCUAGCUUGAUGGCGCGUCUUAUAUGAGUGACGUGAUUCCAGGCUUGUGGUAUUACAACUGCCAAUUGUAUGUUUUAAUCUUAGCGAAUGAUUAUGGGAUAUGCAAUGAAUGAAUAAAUGAAUGCAUAAAUAAUGCCAAUCAUGAAAGAAAUGCAAGAAAUUAGUGUUGAUUUCAAGAUAGCCCCUAUUUAGGCAUUUCAUUCAUCAAAAGAGUUCAUUACAAAACAUUUUGCCACUUUCGAUUAAGCUAUUACACAAACUUCCUAGCUAUAUCUCCAUAUUUCUUUACUCGUGCUAAGAAUUCUGAUAUGUUCGAUCUUCGACUUGGAGGGAAUUGGCAAAUGAGAAUUUCAGCUUCUUCCGAUAGUUGUACCACGUGCAUGGCUACCCCACGAAUUUCAAUUAUCAAACAGCUAAGUUGCAUUUCUUUUUCUUGGAGGCCCUCUUCGUAAGCACGAAUGUCUCUAUCAUAUUGACUAUUCUUUUCUUCCAAAGCCGUCAAGAGAGUAUCUAGCUGUUGUUGACGAUCUUGCAGCAUAUCUUCUAAAUCCCGUAUCCUUUCGUUUAGUUCUUGACGUUUAGAUCAACUAGUCAUUACCUCGGCAGACAUAGCUUCAUAUUUGGUGUUCUUCUUCCUUAGCUCCAUCAUAGCCCGCGUAGCCUUUUCCUCCUCUUUCUUCGCUUUUCCUUUCCAAAAUUCCAUCCCGCCUUUAAUGUUGCUUAUUUCUUCUUUCCAUUCUGCCGACGAAUUGGCCAGCCUACUAUUCUUUAUUGCACUUCUUAACUUCUUAUUUUCCAGAUGAAGAUCUCUUAAGUCAUUUCUUACGACUUCAGCCUCUUUUUGUACUUUCUCAGUUCUGGAUCUUUCAAUCUGAACGUCGAUCUUCAAUUGGUAGUUUUCCUCUUAAAGAGCACUAAGGUCCCAAGACAUCUUGGUAUUUUCGCGUUCAAACUCUUAUCUUGCCGCUUCUAACUUAGACGACAUUUUCUUCAAGAAGGGAUUCUAAAAGGCGUAACUCAUUGACGAAACUCGCUGGCUAUUCACCCGUUGCAUUCUCCAUACGUCGUAAUCUUGAGUGAGAGUAUCAGCAUACAGGGCCAACUCCAUCAGAUGAACUUCCUUCCAAGAUUUUGCAGUGCCUCGGACCCUCUUCAUAUAGCCUUCACCCGCAAAAGUAAACUCGGACUGCGCUAUUUCCUCCAGUGGCGGGAAUAAAUUGUCGUAAAUAAAAUUGCCUCUGGACCAUUAAUGGAACGUAUCCAAUUCCUCCCCAUAGCCCGAGUAGUGGUACCCAAUCUUGAUUUCCAACCUUGUAUAACAGAACCGAAGGGCGGAUCCACGGUGCUCUCUAAGUUACAUCUUCAGCUCGAAGGUUCUGAAAAACUGAAGCCCAAUAUUCUUCGGUGACAUCCUUUGGCCAUUCUCUCUCAAUAUAGGCUUCCAAUGGGGCGAAGGUUUUCGAAAAUAUGUGGUACGGUGUGCGCUCUACUUUCCAGAAAUGGCUCAAAAUCCAGACACUGAGUAACUGCGCGCAUCCGAUAAAUCGUCCUUCUCCUUUCCUCCGACAACUACUCAGGGAUCUGAAGGUCUCGACUAGGAUAGUCGGGACAGGGUUGAUUCCUUAUUUUAAUUUUUCGAAGAAAUCCACCACUGCAACUUCUAUGUGUCCAAGGACUUUUGGGAAGAUGAUCAAACCGUAAAUGGCCAAAGCGAAUAGAUUUACCCUUUUCAACAUGUCAGGAUGGUUCAGAACCAAUUCUCGUAGGGGAGACCAUGGAAUGCAAAUGGUUUCAUUCUUUUUCUUUAUUUUUUCGGCCCAUGCGUCAGUCAUGUCUGUCAAUCUUACUAACUUCUUCUUGAAGGUCAUCGGCUUAGGCUCCUUCACAUAUACUUUAUAGAAUUACACAUUUUCAACACGAAGAAAAGCAACGUACUCUCUAUAGUCGGAGUCAUAUCUUCUCGAUUGAAGGUAAAACAUUGGUAAGCCGGAUCCCAAAAUCUGACCAUGGCUUGGAUCAAUUGUUCGUCUACGUUGACAGCAAUCAAGUUGGCUAUGUCUCCAUAUCUUUCAGUGUAGAUACCCCUAGUGUCUGAGUCCCACUGAUUCCAAACCCGAACCAAAUCCUCAAGGUUAUUCUGGAAAACAUUCAGAGUUACAUGCUCGGGCAGAUUGACAAUACAUCCCUCCACUAGACUAUCCCCUUUUUCUUUUUGAGUUUUUAGAGACCAGUCCCGAACCACGGCAUUCUUCUUGGUUGUUUAUGUAAUUGACUCUUCCAUCUGAAACCCGUUUUUUGGCAACCGAUCUCUAGUCAACACCUUUCCUAAUAUGAUGCCUAUAAUGCAUGAUGAAAAAUAAUGAUAAGACAAACAGCCUUGGUUAGUAAUCACAACAAGUAUAAAUUACGGUAAAUUCAGAUAAAAAGUGCAAAUAUCAAAGAGAUAAAAGGUAAGAAGUGCGUCUCCCAUGUACUUAUUUUGGUGACUAUUAACGGACAGAGGUUCAGCAUGGCUCUAAUUAGGUGGCUCAUAUGGUUCACAAUAUGCGGUUUCUGCUCUAGAUAGGUACUCGAAUUAUUCGUACUAUCGUCUACUAAGACUACUACGAAGCCUCGAUCGUAGCCCAUCACAGGCUCACAAGUUCAAUUCGAGGGAUUACAUUUACUUAUGCCUAUGUGGAGGGACAAGUUAACUCACGAAAGCAUAAGUCAUAUGUAACCUGAAAGUAUUCACUAGCCUGUGCGGAGGGACGAGUUAACUCACGAAGGCAUAGCGUUUACUUUCACUUAAACGGACGGAGCCCAAGUAGAGAGCUCAUGUUAUGCAAAAUGCAGGUGCACGGUGUGUGGGGAGAAACUCACAAACCUUUACGUUUUAUUUAAAAACUAAACUACAAAAACCUAAAAACUUAGAGCUGAAAAUCAACAAGAUAAAACAAGUUAGAAGAAUAUUUACAGCAUGAUGCAAAGGCAUGAAUUUUUGAAAACAAAAUUUGAGGAUCACGACUAAACAUUAAUUUGAACAAGGAAGUUCAAAAAUUUUGACAACACGAGUUUAAUUCCAGACACGACUCUCAAAAAGAAGUCCUCAGUGGAGUCACCAGCUGUAGCGACGUAAAAAAAUUUUGCUUCCGGUCGCUAAUUGUGGCGAUUUAAUGAAAAGUUGAAAACUAAAGUUUAAUUUUGAAAUAAAGUGGGAGUCGUCACCAAUCUUUUUUUUAGGUGUGAUCGGACACCUAAUAAAUCAUCUUUUUGAAAAGAAAAUUUAUUCUCGAACAAAAACGAAGGCUAAAUUUAAGUCUACGUCAAAAGCCAGAUAAAAAUCAGGGUUCGGGAGUCGGUUACGCGUGAUGAAGGUAGUAGCACCCUCGUGAUGCCCAAAAUUGGUAUCUUAUAAACACGUGUUGUCUUGAUUUUCAAAAAUUCGAGUUCAAUGCAAGAUUUAGUCGUGAUCCAGUUGAAAAGACAAGAAAUUUUAGUUUUUUUGGUGUUUUAGAAGGGCAUACUGUUUUAACACGAGUCGAUUGAUGUUCACCCAACAUAGCGAUGAAAUCGACGACUUAGUAUUAAACCGACACGUUGCCUCAUGUAUUGAAAUUAAUUAGAAAACAAGAAUAAGAAUUUCGAACUCAUGCAAAGCAAAUAAAUAAAUGACAGAGCUAGAAAUAUAUUGACACAAAUACAAGUGUGACAAUAAUAUUAAAAAUAACAAAGAUAUAUGCGAUAUUAGACAUAAUACUAGAAUUAAACACGAAAUAGAAACAAUGAUUGCACAUACAUAAUGAUGAUGUUAAGAGUAUGUACGUAAUAUAGGAAUGAAAAAUAUUUACAUAAUAAUACUAAAUAUAGGUACAUAAUAUAUAUAUAUAUGCAUAACAUAUUUAAAAUGAACACAUACAAUAUACACAUAUAAUAGACACACACUAAUAAUAAUAGUAAUAAUAGUAAUAAUAGAAAGAUAUAUAUAUACCAAAUAACACCUAACAAUAUGAUAAGUAGCAAAAUGGAAAAUAAUAAGUAUAUUAAUGAGCAUAAUAAAAUAAUGCUAUAAAAAUAUAUAUACACGUAAAAUAUAUGUAAUAAUAUCAGUAAUAAGUAUAAUAGGAAUAAAAUAAAUGUAAUAAUGAGAUAUACAAGAUACAUACAUAAAUACAAGGUUUAAAAGGCAUAUAUAUACGUAAUAUAUAAAAACGUAUAUAUAAUGUUAAAACAUUUACAUAACAUAUACACACAUAAUUAUAAUGUUAAAAAACACACUUAAUAUUAAUAACAAUAUUAAUAUUACAUAAAGGUAUACCUAUAUAUACAUUAAAGAUAUAUACAUAUAUAAUAAAAUACAUGAAUAAUAUGAUAUUAAAAAUAUACGUAAUACGUAUAAUAAAAAUAAUAUACAUAAUAUAAGAAUAUAGGAGUAUAGGAGUAUUAAAAAUAUAAAUAAAAUAAUGAAGAAAUGAAUAAAAAUAAUAUGCACAAUAAUAUAAUAAGAAAAUAUUAUAAUAAGUACUAAAAAAUAUCUAUAUAUAUAUACAUGUAUAAUAAUGAAUAAUAUGAUAUACGAAAAAUAGUAAUAAUAAAAAGUAUAUAUAUAUGUGUAAUAAAAUAUAUGUACUAAUAUUAAUAAUAAAUAUAAAUAAUAUAUACUUAAAAAAACAUAGAUAUAUAAAACAUAGUACUAAAAUAUACAUAUAAUAUGUAAGAAUAUAUAUAUGUAAUAAAGUAUUAAAAAUUUGUACAUGAUGCAUAUAAUAUGAUGUUAAGAGUAUACAUAUGAAAUAUGAUAUUAAAGGUAUGUAUACGUAGUACAAAGAAUGUAUAUAUAUAAUAUAGCAUUAAAAUAUAUGCAUAAUAAAUUAAAGAAUAAUAAUGUUAUAAGCAACUAGUAAUAAUACUUCAUAAAUAUAUAUACAUACUAAAAAUAUACAUAAUAAUAAUAUAUACAUACAAAGUACACUAAUAUUUAAAAAUAAUAACAGUAAAUAUAAUAUUAAUAUUAAAUAAAAUUAAUAUUACAAAUUUAAUUUGACAGCAAAAAUGACAAAAAGGACUAAAUUCGGAUUAAAAACAAAGUUUAGGGAAAAUCUGAAAUAAAAAAAGAAAAGAGAACAACCUAUUUCAACGCGCGCAAAUAGUGGGGGGACUAAAAACGAAAUAAACCCAUUCAAUCAAAUCGCACAAUAUUAUGGGGACUAAAUUGAAAACCAUGGAAAAUUAUGGGGCUGAAUUAAAAAAUGACAAAAGACUUAAUUGCAAAACGUUUAAAAAGCAGAGGGGUUAAAAGCACAAAUAACCCCUCCCUUAAAAAACACACGGAUCCUGCUCGGAGUGGGUCGGGUCGACCCGACCUGGGGCCAAAACGACGUUGUUUUAUUGUUUAAACCGGGGGACCAAAACGCACCGUUUUGGUCCCUUAUAAAAGAUAAAAAAAUUUCAAAAAUUUCAUUUGGGACCAGGGAAAGAAAAAAAAGAAAGAGAGGGGGGAGAGAAAAGGGGUUCCGGCCAAGGGGCACGGUGGCCGGAAAAUCGAAAGGUAUGAUUUUUCUUCCCUUUUUUAAAAAAAAAAUUGGUUUUAUAUUUUUUAUAUGUUUUAGUAUAUAUAUGUGAAAAAUAGGCCUAGAAAACGAAACUAAAACAAAAAAAAUAUUACCUUAGAUUUCUAGUUUUUGAUUUUUGAUAUCUUUGAUUCUCUGAUUUUGAGUGUUCGAAUCACUGCUUGUAUAUGUAUUGUACUCUAACUUAGGUAUUGAUUUUCCUUGAACAUUCGAAUAAACACCAAAAAGAAAAAAAAAAGAAAAAGAGCCGACCCUUUUACAAUGCUUUUCGUGGCUUUUUAUAGCCUUUACAUGGUCUGUUUCUUAUUGUUGCGUGUCUGCUUGACCUUGCAGGUGAGUUGGUGGCCAGUGGAGGUGACCAUGGGGUAGGUGGCGCCAGGGGAUGGUGUUGGCAGAGGCAAGUGGGAGGGUGGUUGCGGCGCUGAGGCAAGUGGGGAGAGGCUAGGGUUUGUGAUAGCUUUUUUGAAUUUGGUUUAGCGUUUGGGUGUAAUUGGGUUGUUGGGUAUUUGGGUUUUUUGGUGGGUUAGUUUAGGUGGGCUCGGGUAGGUUGAUGUGUAUUGGGCUGAUGGUUGUAAAUGUAUUUGGGCUAAGGGUGGGUUAGAUGGUUUAAGGGGUUUAAUGUAUUGGAUUUAUUUGUUGGGUCAAAAUUGGGUAGGUUAGUUGUAAUGUAUUUGGUUGAUGGGUUAUUUUGCUUUGGGUUUUAUUGGUUUAAUGUAAAUAGGUCAUGGAUAAAAUUGGGCUAUAACAAUUAUAUAUACAAAUUUUAAUUUAGUGUAAUUAUAUACGUGAAAUUCUUUUUUUUUUGAAAGCUAAAUUCAUUAAUUCAUUAAAUGAAUGAAACCAUACAAUUCAAGGGAAAAAGGGAAAAAAAUAACAAACACUCGUCGUAGAUGGUGAAAGACAAGCUCCAUCAAUACAACAAAGGUUUUAGCCUCAAUACCAAUAGAACAUCAUGACACGUUGACAAUUGGCUUUGUCAUAACUCAAGUACGACAUAUUUGGAGUGCUUGCAAACACUUAAUAAGGAAAUCAACCCCGAAUGAUCCAAAGCGGCGAGCAAAAAUCGACAAAAGAAUCGAGCAUUCACCGAACUAAAGAGAAUGACAACAGAACCAUCCUUAAAAUCACUUGUAAAACUAAUGUUACAUGCAUAAGACUAAAAAAUGUUCUUUUAAGACUAAAAAUUUAUUAAACAAAAGAAAACAAACAAAAGAAAACAUAUAAAACUUAAGACAACACAGGUCCAAAUCGAUCCAUGAAAUAAUUUAUUAUUCUAAAAAACUACUGAUGGCUGGUGGAGUUUUAGCGAACAACUGACGUCGUCAUCUGUCCGCCACAACUUGUUAAAACAAUAAAUAUACCCACAAAAUAGAUCUGCAAACUAAAAAGAGAGAAGAUAUGUGGAGUGAAUGAGAAGAAUAAAGAAAGAAAGAGUUGGUGGGAGAGAGAAAAAGGCAGACGAUAGCUAAUCUCACUGGGCAAAACAUAAGAUAAGAAGCAAACGGCUUGAAAAAGAAAAACUAUACACGUGAAAUUUUAAUUGUUGUUCAAAUAUAUACUUAAAACUUUAAUUUUAAUUUAAUCCUACGCAUUUAAAGAAAUAAAUAUAUCAAUUUAUUUUUAUAUUGGACAAAUAUAAUUAUUUAUAUAAGUAUUAUAUAAAUAUAAAAUAAUAUUAUAUCAAUAAUUGUGUUAAUAAUUUAUAAAAAUUGAAUUAAAUAAAAAAUUAUAAAAAAUUAAAAUUCAUAUACAUAAUUUUACAUUAAAUCAUAUUUAAUGUAACUUUGAACGGAAUAAUAAUAGUCAUACAACGUGUGGUUGAAAAUCCAGUUUGAUUUUGUUGAAACUAUAAACUCGUUUUCCCAUCAUCAAGUAAUUUAAAAGAAAAAAAUUCAAAAAAAGGAAAAGAAAUUAUAAUUCAGUUUAAUUGUUAUUGACGCUGUAAAGAAAGCGAGGAAAAAAGAAAGCUGGAAAGUGUAAAGAAAUACGAAGCCAAGCAAUGGAACCGGGUAACGAAAAACAACAUUAAAAAGGAUGAAAAUGAAGGGAAGGUUGGAAACGCAAAAAGUCAAUAAAAUAAAAAUAAAAACCAAAAACUUUAAUCUUUCUAAAAUAUUAUUUUUACAUAUGAUUUUGUAAUGAAUUAAUUUAAUUAAUAAUAUUUAAUUACUUUUAUGACUUAUAUUUAGAAAAUAAUAUUUCUUUUUGCUUAUUUUAAAAAAAUAUAUAUUUUUAUGAGAGUUUUUGCUUAUAUUUCUAAUUUUAAAUUUAACUUUUUAUGUUAAUUAAGUCUUAACUCGAUUGGCAUGAGCAUUGUUUUCAAUGUACAGACCCAAAUCUGCCUGCGCUUACACCAUAUCAAAACCAAAAUAAAAAGGCAAAACAAAACAACAAAAUAAAAAUCCAAUAAUAAGUGUCCAUAGUCCAUUUUACAACAACCCAACAACUAAACCAAGCCCAAAUAAACCCUAACACAAAUUGGCCCAAAAUCUAAAAUUUCUAGAAAACCUUGGCAUCAUUCUUGCGCCGCUGCUGCCUUCGUGCCAGCUUCCACGCGCGCCGUUGCUUCAUGCUCCACACCCACGAACGGCUUUUCCACACCAUGCACACCUGCAACAGACUACAAACAAAGGAGCAAUGGGCAACAAAUGACAGCAAUGAAAAUUUGUAUUUUCUUUUUUUAUUUAUUUUAUUUUUUCGGCUAUAAAACUGAAUGAAAACAAUGUAAAUGGGAUCUCUUUUUUGGGUAGAAAUAUACACGCAUAUUUACGCAUACAAAUCAAUACCAAAAAAUGUGAAAAAAGAACAGCUUUCAAGUGGUAAUUUGAAAUAUCAUUUUUCUUUUCAUUUUGCUCUUAUCUCUUUGAUUUUCAUUAUUAUAUGAGUAAAAAAAAAGAAUAAAGGAGAGGGAGGAUACUUAUCGUGAUUAAAGCCCUCGAAUCCUUGUUUGCUUUGAAGAAAUCAAAGCUCAAAUAGGGAUCGAGUGGUUUAAGAAUGGCAAAACCCUCGGAUUUGUGGUCGAACAGGGUCGAUCAGGCCUUCGUGCGACGCCGUUCGCUGAUUACGGAGGCAAAGUGGUGGUUGAGUGAGGAUUUAAGUUCAGCCGAAUGAAGAAGGGAGAUAGGCUUUAGGUUUUUUUAUUUUGAUUUGCUUUUAAGUGGCUGAAUGUUAGUUUUAGGGUUCUUUUUUUUACACAAAGUAUAAAACGACGCCGUUUAAGGGGAGGGGGUCCGCGCGUCAACCCACUCGGAAGCCCGGAUCGGCGCCUGUGCGCUUGAAAUGGGUAAAUUGUGCCCUUCGUCCCUCCCUCUCGCGCUGCUACCUGAUUGGGGCCCUCUGCGCAUUUUCUUUGUUUUUUAAUUUUUUCCCUGAGAUUUACGCAUGAUUGCAAUUUAAUCCGCGGCUAAACGCAAUGUUUUGAUAUUUGGGAUAUUUUCAAUUUUGAUCCUUAAUCAUUUGUGCGCGUACUAUUUCAAUCCUCAGCUCAGUUUUAUUGAUUUGUCUAUUUAUAAAUUAUCCUUCCAAUUUUGUUUUUAUUUCAAUUUAGUUUAUUCUAUGUGUUAUAUUCUUUUGGAUUUAUUUGUUUAGUUAUUUAUGUAAUUAUUUUUUUUAAAAACCUAUUAUUUUAACAUAUUAUUUUGAAC
Molecule: long non-coding RNA, 74330 nt
Filed under: Gossypium barbadense (sea-island cotton)
Lineage: Eukaryota; Viridiplantae; Streptophyta; Magnoliopsida; Malvales; Malvaceae
Description: long non-coding RNA (GBAR_LNC007774)
Rfam family: MIR7504 microRNA precursor family (bases 5318-5443)
Source: RNAcentral